Molecule: long non-coding RNA, 67239 nt
Filed under: Marmota monax (woodchuck)
Lineage: Eukaryota; Metazoa; Chordata; Mammalia; Rodentia; Sciuridae
Rfam family: tRNA (bases 7349-7420)
Source: RNAcentral
GUUGCGCUUGGUGACGGGGGACGCGGGGCCGCAGCGCACUGGGCCGGCCGCAGCGGAGGAGGACUCGGACCGCGGGUGGCUGUGGCGGCGGCGGCCCGGUAGCCGCGGAAAGAUUGGGCGCGGCGCGCGGCCCAGGAUGAAGGGCCGUGGCGGCGCGGCCCGUGUGCAGCCGGCCGGUGAGAACGCGGGUGGUGGGCGGCGCGGCCGGGAAGAUGGCGGAGAGGUUGCGCUGCGGCCCGGCGUCCGGGCCCGGGCGGAGGCCCCGGCAGGCCGGCGCAAGGAAUUCGGUCCUGCAGAGACCGAAGAGGCGCGAGGGGCCGGGCGGGAGGUGCCGAAGCUGCGGGUCGGGCCGCGAGGGGACGAGGCACACGCCGCGGGGUGUGAGGGUGGGUGUGAGUCCGCGAAUGUGCCCGGCCCGGGGGUGCGUGAGUGUGCCCCUGCUCGAGGAUGGGCAUUCUAAGUGUGAGGGGCGGGAAUAUGGUUGUGAGUGAGCCGGAUCUAGGGGUCGGAGUGAAUGCUUGUGUGCCCCUGCUCGAGGAUAGCGAUGAGUGUGAGAAUGCAUGGCCGGAGGGUGGUUGUGAUUGUGCCCGGCUUGAGGGCGGGUGUGUGUGUGUGCUGACUGAGGACAGGUGUGAGUGCGUGGGCCCCCAGCAGGACAGGUGUGAGCGCAUGUGUGCCUGGCCCUGGACAGGUGUGAGUGCGUGUCCCUGACCAGAGGAUGGGUGUGAAUGUGCCCAGCACGAGGACAGGUGUGAGUGUGUGUGUGCUCCGGCUGCAGACAGUGUGAGUGCAUGUUUGCCAGGCUCAGGGACAGGUGUGAGUGCAUGUGUGCCCGGCCUGGGGACUGGUGUGAGUGCAUGUGUGCCCGGCCCGAGGACAGGUGUGAGUGUGAAGGUGCUCUUCCUGAGAGGGACGACAUCCCAUUCCUCCGGGUGAGGUCGGAUGGGACCAGGUGGUGGCCGCCGGGCGGGGUUCCAGCGGGCAUUGGCUGCGACCCCGAUCGGGCUUUGUCCUCCGGGCCCGGGGAGUCGGUGGGCGUCUCCAGGCCGGGUCAUGGCUGCCUGCGCGUGGCGUGCCUGGGUUCCGUGGCCGGCCUCUGCGGCAGGGGCGGCUUGCCCUUUCCGGGGUCUCUGGAGCUGGAGCUUCCUCGGCACAUCACGAGGGCCGGCGUGGUGUGGGUGGGGGCCAAGAGCCUGUAGUCCGGGCCUGGACAUCUUUAUUUUAAAACGUGCAGCCGGCUCCAGGCGCGGCAGCUGUGGGUGUGUUCCAUGCUGCUGCUCCUCACCGCAGCUGCUGUGGGCGCUGCGCAGCCUUCAGCGGCAAAAAUGCGGCUGGACCCCCUCCCCCUUCAGUGUUGCGGGGGGUUUGACCAAGCCUCCAGUGACCUCUGCAGAAAAACCUACAGUUGCAAGGCUUCGGUUCCUCCCUUGGUGCAGACAAUACGGACGUUUGUCUUUGAAAGCCAGGGAGGGGAAUUGAGCAUUGCGUCCUGAGUGCCUUCUGGAAACAGCAGGUGGUUCUGUUGGCUGCUUCUCUUUCACAAUGAGCCUGGGGAGAGAGGAAGAGUGAUGGAGGUUUGACGGGACAGCCCAGGAUCCAUUCAUUCCUUAAGCCAUCCUGGAUGCCCGACUGCUGGAAGGAAUGAGAGGCGCCUCCCUCCUGCGCUUGGUCUAGUGAGCUGGGGAAGAAGGGACAAGAGGGUUUUUCUGGAGCCAGACUGACCGCUUUUGAGUCUUGACUCUUCGUUUACUGGCUCUGUGGUUUUAGGCAAGUACUCUUUGGCUUUGGUUCUUCAGCUGUAAAAUGGGUAUGCUAAGUAGUACUGGCUCCGGAGACUUGUUGUGAGUGAACUAAAACUUGCAAAACCCGUUGUCCCUGGCACUUGUAUUUUAAAAAGCUAGGGAAUUGUUCUUACAGCCAAGGUUCUGGCCUGGCAGGGUUAGGUGUGGGUGGGAUUGGGUGCUACAGGGUGCAUGUGCUGGAUCAUGGGCUCUUCAGUUAUCCCCAGCACUAUUGGUAGAUAGUGUAGUAUUAAACGAGUUUGAAAUUGGGGUCUAUUGCUUCUUCCACAAACAAGCUGAGAUUAUAUUAGGAAAAACAGAUUUUUAUAAAGGUAAAAGAAGGAAUCUUGUGUACUUACGUAAGUUAUUAUAUAGAACUGUUUUUAAAAAUAUCUUCAGAGAAAGAGUGCAUCUAAUGAACUAUCUUGGAAUACCAUGGAACUUUCUGUCCUUGGUUAGGUAGGAUUGUUCCUGGGUAAGGUCCAGAGGACUGAGUCAAACCUCCAAAGCCAUGUUGCUCUCCACAGAGUUGCUUUAGUGUAGCUCCUUAAAAUAAACCUUAGGUGACCAUGAGGAUGUGUAACAUAAUGAAAACUUGAAUUACCAGCACAGUGAUGUUCUUCUUUCCUCAAACUGUUGGAAUAAGUGAAGAGUUGCUUUAGAGCAAAGUGGGGAGAAGCCAUAUGUUUUCCAAGGAGAUGACUGUCCUUAGAUCUGAUCAUCUCUUUCCUCUGUAUCUUAGAUAUAUUCAUUUUUCUUUUUGGUCCCGGGGAUUGCCCCCAGGGGUGCUUUACCACUGAGCUACAUCCCCAGCUUUUUUAUUUAGUUUUUUUUUUGUUUGUUUUCAAUUUAAUUAUAGCCCACAGGAGACUGCCUCCCUGUUUUGUCAAUAAAGUUCAUUGAAACAGCUACAUUGCUUGUUUUUGUAUCGUCAGAGGCUGCUUUGGCAAAUUGAAUAGUUGUGACAGGCUGUGUGGCCUGCAAAACCUGAACCCUCCACUUCCGGUCCAGUCACAGGAUAAGCAUGCUUCAGAGAUUCUGGAGGGAGGUGGCUGCUAGGCUUUGACUGCAAGGAGGCAACACAGGCAGAAAAUGUUUUAGAUUUAGGAGCAAAGGAAAGAAGGUGGUUUAUAUGUGUUUAAAGUUUGUAUAAGUUUAAAGUUUGUAUAAGAAAUAAUGGGAAGGCUGAGGAUGUGGCUCAAGCGGUAGCGCGCUCGCAUGGCAUGCGUGCGGCCCGGGUUCGAUCCUCAGCACCACAUACAAACAAAGAUGUUGUGUCCGCCGAUAACUAAAAAAUAAAUAUUAAAAAAUCCCCCCCCCUCUUUAAAAAAAAAAAAGAAAUAGUGGGAGGUGAGGAUGAUGAUAGAAAGAUCUCUGCAUUUAGGUUGAUGACUUCAGAUUUUAAUAUUCUAGCUAGUAAAGAACCAUCACAGGGAUGUGAACAGGGACUUUCCUGAUGAGCAGUGACAGGUGGGGUGGCCUAGAGAGGAAUCAGUCCAGAUCAGGGUUUUGGGACAGGUUUCUCUGGGCAGUAGUAGCACAUUGCCACUGUGUUUUAUGUGACUUCAUCUUAUUUCCUGCAUACAUUCCAUUUGCUUGUGAUUUUGCUUCGAGACCCAGGACCAAUGCUUAUGUGGGACAUGCUUGUUUUUAUGGCAUGAGGAAACUCAGUUUCUCAUCAGAUUUCAUCUUGAAUUGGCAGCUCAGCUUCUAUGAGCUACAGAAGGCAGAGCCCUCUUGCAGGCAAGAGAUUAAUGUGUACUGGAGAUAAUACCAUGAUCCUCACCCCAGCCCCUAGCCCUCCACAAAAAUGAUUGAGCCUGCUUCCUGCCAUCUGGGUGGCCUCACAUGGAUGGGAGUUAAGGUACAGCUAAAUAGCUCUCCUCUCUAAGGCUUCUCAGACUCAGUACCUGCUCUUUGGGCCUCUGGUGCUCUGAAACUUCAGUUUGUUUGAGGCUGCUGGAAGCCUGGCUUCCUGAUCUGUGUUCUCCUUUGGCUUUGAACCCCUCACUUUCUUUUCCACAUAGUUGCUCAGGUGACGUGUGCUAAGCCAUGGUCUCACCCAGGUAUUUGGCAAUAUCUGGUGAUGCUUUUGGUUUCCUUUACUAGGAGUGUGAGACCAGGGGUGCUGAUAACUCCUACAGCCCAGGGUGGCACCCAGCUUCCCCAGAGCCUCCUAGACUGUACUCCAGAACCCCAUGUGUUCUUUUUUUUUUUUUUUUUUAAUUUUUAGUGUUUAUUUUUUUUUUAGUUUUCGGCGGACACAACAUCUUUGUUUGUAUGUGGUGCUGAGGAUCGAACCCGGGCCGCACGCAUGCCAUGCGAGCGCGCUACCGCUUGAGCCACAUCCCCAGCCCCCCAUGUGUUCUUGACCUGCUCUAACUUCAGUGAUGCAGCUUUGUUGAGGCACUGGGCCAAGCCUUGCUUGGUGUUUCUUCCUUCAAAACAAGCAAAGCUCAUGUGGCUCCUUCAGAUCUUUGACCCUGGCUGAGGCAGCAUCAGCAGGAGUCCUUCCCCACCUCCUUCAGCACCCAUUUCUGUACCUCCCAUCUCCUGUGGGCUCUGGGUGGUGGUUUUGGUCCCUGCACAGCCACACCUGUCUCUGCCUGGUCUGGGAAUUCCUUGAGGAUAGCAUAUACAUAUAUUCUUGAUGUCUUGUUGUAUGUUGCCUUUAACAUCAAUAAAGAUGGGUGGGCUUGAGCUGGGUGCUGUAGUGCAUGCCUGUAAUCUCAGUGGUUUAGGAGACUGAGGCAGGAGGAUCGACAGUUCAAAGCCAGCCUUAACAAUUUAGUGAGGCCUAAGGCAACUCAGUGAGACUCUGUCUCUAAAUAAAAUAUAGAAAAUGCUUGGUGAUAUGGCUCCAUGGUUAAGCCAUAUCCCCAGGCUUGGUACCCUGGGUUCAAUACCCGGUACCAAAAGACAGAUGGAUGGGUUUGGGCUGAUGAGUGCCCAGAAAGAAUGGUCAACAAGCCCAGGAGUUAUUUUCUCCAUUUUGGCUGCAUCCAACUGACUAUGGUUUCUCUCAUCUUAUGUUUCCUAAGUAUAAAUUGUUUGAUUCUCAACAGAUUCACUUUAUUAUUGAUUCCUGAAAGUUUUAAUUCUAUAUCUUUUUGAACAGAUGAUAUGCUCACAUGGUGCAAAAGCACAAAGGGUGCUCAGCAGAGCUUCCUUCCUUUCUCCCCAGAGCCUGGCUCCCUGGAGACCUGUCUGGACCAGCUUUUCCUAUCUCCUUCUGGAGAUGCUUUGUAACUCUGUAGGCAAGCAUGUGUUCUUUUUUUCCUAUCCUUUUAAAAACCUUUGUGACCCUUGCCUUUUUCACCUAUGUUUGAGAGGCCAUUUUUCAGUACUUUCUUUUCCAUGGCUGUGCCUUCUUCAGUGUGGACAUGCUGUAAUUUAUCUAACCAGCUCCUGCUAGUGAACAUUAUGUUUUGUGCAGAUAGAAAUGAGGUUGCAGGUACAGCAUUUUCAGUGUGUGGAUGUGCCUCUUGAUGCACUCCUAGAAAUAUUACUUAUGUCUUCAGUCGUUUGUUUCAUGACAUUAGGUUUGCUCUUGUCCCUGAAUGUCUUUAACUCUGUACUUCCUUUGGUCAUAUAUUUCUCCCAAUUAUCUAUCUCUGCAUUUUAAAUACUAAAGUAGGUCUAAACAAAUGAGUUUCUCUCUUGGAAAUCAGUCACCUCUUUUAUAUAUAUAUAUAUUUUGGUUUUAGGUGGAUACAAUAUCUUUAUUUUUAUGUGGUGCUGAGGAUCGAACCCAGUGUCUCACACGUGCUAGGCAAGCACUCUACCACUUGAGCCACAACCCCAGCCCGAAAUCAGUCACCUUUUAUGUGUUCUUAUGGCUAAGAGACAGGAAAACAUAUGUCCACCCAGAAUAUUGUCCAUGCAUAUUCACAGAAACAACCACCAACAAGUGGAAACCAUCCAUGUAUUAUCCAAAGGCCCAGUGAGGUGACACCCGUUAUCCCAGCUACUUGGGAAAGUGAAGUGGUGGGAGGAUGCUUGAGCCCAUGAGUUUUAACUAGCCUGGGCAACACAGCAAGACCCCAUAUCAAACCAAAAACAAGCGGGGUGCAGUGGCGCACAUCUGUAAUCCCAGUGUCUCAGGAGGCUGAGGCAGGAGACUCACGAGUUCAAAACCAACCUCAGCAAAAGUGAGGCACUAGGCAACUCAGUCAGACCCUGUCUCUAAAUAAAAUAUAAAAUAGUGCUGGGGAUGUGGCUCAGUGGUUGAGUGCCCCCCUAAGUUCACUCCCUGGAACCUCCCUCCAAAAAACCCCCAAAACAACAAACUAGGAUUAUAGGUAUCCACCACCAUGCUCAGGAGCCCAAAAACUCUCACGUGAAGUUGACAAGGCCAGACCUCUGAUGGAGUACACAGUGGACAGUGCUCACACCCCAUGGCAGCUGCGCAGGCAGUAUCCACCACAAAACAAUACAAAUGUCACCAGUAUGAGAGUGGAUGAACAACAUGUGAUUAUAUCCAUAGGAUGGAAUAUUACUUGGCAAUAAAAGAAAUGAAUUAUUGGUUUGUUUGCAUCAUGGAUGAACAUUGAAAAUACUGUGCUGAGUCCAAAAAAAAAAAAAAAAAGGAAAACCAGACACAACUGGUCAUGGUGGCACACAUCUGAGCACAGUGGCAUACACCUGUAAUCUUAGUGACUCAGGAAGCUGAGAUAAGAGGAUUGCAAGUUUGAGGCCAGCCUCAGCAACUUAGGCCCUAAGCAACUUAUUGAGACUUGUCUCAAAAUAAAACAAAAAGGGCUGGGGAUGUGGCUCAGUGGAAUAGUGGUCCUAGGUUCAAUUCCCAAUACCAAAACCAAAACAAAAAAACCCCAAACAACCAGACACGUUGUAUCAUUACAUUUAUAUGAAAUUUCCAGUAGAGCCAUAGAAAAAAAUAGUAGAUUAAUGGUUGCCACAAGCUGUGGGAAUUAUAGUUAAGAGGAGUAGAGUUUCUAGGGUAUUGAAAAUGUCCUAAAUUGGCACGAUACAGCUUGCCCAUGUCUGUGAAUAGAACAAAACUGUACACUUUCAAUGGGUGAAUUGUGUGUGAGUUACAUCUCAGUGAAACUGUUAACAAAAAGAGUAAGGGCUGGGGAUAAAGCUCAGUUGGUAGAGUGCUUGCCUUCAUGCACUAGGCCCUGGUUCGAUCCCCAGCACUAAAACACAAAAGCAAAAACAAAGGUAAGCAAGAUUUUUCAGAAGGGAGUGUUUCAUGGUGGGAGAUGAAGGCUGGGUGGGGACCACAGAGGGCUGUGGUGGGGGGCUGUGAUGUGGACUCAGUCUUGGGUACUGAGAUGAGACCCGGGGCCCCAGCAGGCACUGCAGCAGCUGCCACGCAGGUGGGACAGAGCCUUGAGUUACACUUGGACUCCAUCAAGGGCUAGUUGUGUCGUUGAUUGUAGAUACAUCACUGACUGACUACAUCCUGCUCUGUCUGCAGGCUAGACAUCUGUGCUAUCUUCUGUCCAGGGUCAUUGUGUAGUUGAAGCUCGACCAAGUUUGGGAGGACUCUGUAAAUUACUGGGGGUUAUAUAUAAUGUUUUAAAGAGUUAAAACAUGGGGCUAGGGUUGUGGCUCAGUGGUAGAGCACUUGCCUAGCAUAUGUGAGGCACUGGGUUCGAUCCCUAGCACCACAAGUAAAUAAAUAAAAAAUAAAGGUACAUCGACAACUAAAAAAUAUUUUUAAAAAAGGAGUUAAAACAUUAGUUUUACGAGUAAGAGGCUGAUGAGCCAAUAGUACUUUUUCUGCCCUCUUGCAGGCUGAUUUGAGACAAACACCAGAUGUAGUGAGGUGUGGCAGGGACCCCUGAAGCCCAGGUGCUGGGCAUGGGCACCGACCCCCUGCCUGGCCCAGGCAUUCAGUUCUUUUUCCUUUUUUGCCAUGCUUCUUUUCCCUUUUUCUGCUUUUUCUUUGGACUGUUUCUUUAAGCUACUGAAGUCCCCGGCACUAAUCAGAUAGGGUGACUGGUGCUUCCUUUGUGCAUUAGCUUCACAGAAAUGUUUCCUGUUGCAGCCCCCUCCACCAUUCCCUGGGACGUCUUGCUGGCCAACGUCUUCUUACCAGGCAUCAAGAUUGUGCUGAAAUCUGCACGGGUGCAUCUCUCCACCCCACAGGCCGCAUGUUAUGCCUGGCACUGGAAUGUUCCCUUCUGGAGCUCCUGCUCACUCUCAUUAUAAUGGCUUCACUAAUCACAGCGAAGCAGCUUCUAAAACCAGAGAGUUCACAGCAGUGGUGCUGGCCUUUUACCUUGUGUUGGAAUCCAGCUGCAUCCUGGCAUUUCUACUUUUUCUGACCAGAAGUGCUAGAAGCAGCCUAAAGCUCAGAGGAAUAAUGCUGUGGGUCCCAGAGACCCUCAUGUGGGACCUUCCCAGGGAUGCAUAGGAGCCACAAAUGGCUUCUGGGAACAGUGUGGGGCUUCCUGCCCAAGGCCCUGGACUAUAGAACGCUUCUCCAUUGGUUUGGCAGGGCUCCACUGCCUGGCUGGUUCUGUGCUUGCCAGGCCCACCCUUUCUCACCCGACUCUCAUUAUCUCCUGUCCUGCUGUGUGCUCCUGACAUGGAGGAGACAGACAAAGCCUCUGCUGGGGGACACAGGAGCAAGUGCUCACACCCCAUGGCAACAGUGUGGGCAGCAUCCGGGGAUCUGUGACAGCAGGCCCUGGGGGAAGUUGUAUAACUCAGAAGUUGUGGACCCUUAGCUGGUCUUCUAGAGAGAGGAAUCUUGUUGAGGAAGGAAGCUGUUCACCAGGCCCAGAAGAGGCAGCUGUGGGAUGCUGCCAGGGUAAGGAGAAGAUAAGCAGGCACCCAGGGAAUCAGGUGGGCUGUUGUCAGCAGGUAGAAUAGGGCUGUCUCCUAUUCUAUUUUAGUUGUUGAUGGACCUUUCUUUUUAUUCAUUUAUUUAUGUGCAGUGCUGAGAAUUGAACCCAGUGCCUCAUACAUGCCAGGCAGGUGCUGUACCACUGAGCCACAAACCCAGCCCUAUCUUUAAAAUUUUAAAAAUUGCUUUUAAAAAAUUAUAGUGCAUGCAUUAAGAAAACAAAAAACAAUGUCCUUUGUGAAGAGAUGAGGAACAAAGAAAUUUUGAUUUUACCCCAUCCUCUAAGUUUGCCAGUUUUGGGGGAUCCAGGAAUCCCUAGCAUUUUAGAAAUCUGGGAGGAGGUUGAGAAGAGCUGUGAAAAUGAUUCCCUGACUGGCUGGCACCAUCAGCCCGUCUGCGGUUUGAACAUUGCCUUACCAGAAGAUGCCAUGUAGUCUAGAAAAAUUGUCUUGAAGAUAAAUGGUGGCUGCUGGCCUUGUUGUGAUCUGGUGUGUGUGUGUUCAGACACCGUUCUAAGUACUUCCUUGGUUUUAGAAAAUCUAUGACUGACCUGUCUACAUGGUGGAUGUUCUUAGUCAUGUUCACAGAUAGAGCAUGUAGGGCUGGAGAGGGCUGUGACCCAUGCAGGCACUUAGCUGGUGGCAGAACCCGAUCCAUGUCCACUCAGUCACACCUUCUCGCAUGUGUUGUCACCUCCCUGAGCUCAGGGUACAAACACAUAGUUGUCAAUGCUUAGUGUGUCCACACAGACAUACAGUGAGACAGUGCAGUGAGGAGGGCAGGCCAGCCCUUGCCCUCACUGUGCUUAGAGGUCAGUGCUGCAGCAACAUGGAGACAGCUAGGGCCAGGUGGGCCUUGUUCACAAAGUCCAUGAAUUUGAAUGGAGAUGAGCAGGUAGAGGAGGGAAACCACCUGUGGAGAGGGGAGUCUAGGCUGAGGAGACAGCAGUACAAACCAUCCAGCUGGAGCUGUGUAGCAGCCAAGUGCGAAGGCUUGGGCAUUGUGUGUAGGGGUGACCAGGAGGGCCUGUGGGCAGCAGAGGAGUGAAGACAGCAAUCUAGGUGGGGGGCUCCACCAAAGUGGUAAUGAGCUAAUAGGAUGUUGGAACCCAGAGACCAUUUCUAACCUUUUCUUCAUUAAUUUUUAUUGACUUUUGUGGACAUGUUGGGAUUUCCUGGUGGAACUGCAGGUAGACUGAUUUGCAGGACAGUGAGGAGUUGUUGGGGUGUGUCAUGAUCAAACCUCUGAGUGGGGAGUCAUUGUCAUAGAGACAGGAGCAAGCUGUGGGCCUGAGGGAGACCCCCAGGGCAGGGAUGUAGGUAGAGAAGGGGGUCCCCCUAGAUAUGGGCCUCCUGCAGGUCCACAGCCAGGAAGGAGGCUAUGGUACUCAGAGGCCAAGUGAGGAAGGUUAAUCAAGGGAGGAGGGAGAGUGCAUGGUGGAUAAUGGAGAGAAAGGAGUGGUCCAAGGAGGAUAGUGGAGAAGAGGGAGCAGCCUGAGGCAAGUAGUGAGAAGGAGGGAGUGGUCUGAUCCACUGGUGAGGGCAGAGAAGCAGGAUGGGGAACUGCCAUUGGACUUGUAGAUCAUCGUUGAUCUACAUCGGAGGUGUAAGGGAGUGAGGGGAAUAAAAGUACUUUUGGAGUGGGGUUAAGAGAAAAUGGGACAGAAGAAAUCAGAAGUGUUAAGACAGACUCCUUUUUUUAAAUAUUUAUUUUUUAGUUAUAGGUGAACACAAUGUCUUUAUUUUACUUUAUGUGGUGCUGAGGAUCAAACCCAGUGCCUCAUGCAUGCCAGGCAAGCACUCUACCUCUGAGCCACAACCCAGCCCCAAGACAGACACCUUUUUGAAGGGCGUUUGAAGGGCAGUAGGUCACCAGAGUAUUUCUUCACAUAUAUAUAUAUUUAAGAUGCAAGAAAUGGUAGCUGGUUAUGUGCUGAUAGGACCAGUCCUGGAGAGAGGAAGAAGUGGUAAAGGAGGAAACAAAGUCUUACUGGAGGCUGGCUGGGUGGCAGGCAGGUAGUGGUCAUAUGCUAGUCCACAGCAGUCUGUGGGAGUCCUCUGUUUUGUUUUUUUUUUCUCAGAGAAGGAAGCAAACUAAGCAUUGGAGGGAGUAGCAGACAGAAAAGGUGAGAAAUGGGCCAGGAAGGGUGUGAACCGUGAGCUAAUGCAGGCUUGGUGGGGAUUAAGGAGAGACUGGCCAGCUGUGUUUUCCUUUGAGUAUUUAGUUGCAGGCAUGGAAAAGGGGAGCUCUGGGUUGGCCAGGUAAGCCUGGCCGAGGGAGCUGGAACAUAAGGGAGUGAGAGGUAAAAACCCAGAGACCUGUAAAGGGGCCUGCAUUUCUGCUGGCCUGGCUGGAGGGUUAGGGUAAGGCAGAGCCGGUGAGGGGAUGGGAUUUCACCAUCAGAGCUUUGAGAGCCUUAAGUGGUACAUGUGGGGCGACCUCAUCUGAUCAUUCCUGUGGGAAGGCAGUGUGAGCUUGUGUGAUGGGGGCCGUGGUGGUCCAGGAGUGAGAGGAUAGCGACCCCUGUGUUUUCUCUCUUCUGUAGUUCAGGGUUAUCCAUUCCUCUUUUUUUUCCUUGUGGUGCUGGGGAUUGAACCCAGGGCCUUGUGCAAGCAAGGGAAGCACUCUACCCCAAGAAUGCCAGGUGUGCAGCCACAGACUGCAUCAUUCUUGCACUGGGCUAUGGUGGAAGCCCUGGAGAUGAUACCCCUGGGGAGGUGGUGUGUAGAGACAAGGCCUUGAUGACAACACAGAGGGCUUUGGAGCUGGAAAUGCAGGGCAGGAGCAAGGAGGAAUGCUAGCCAGAGUCAGCAUUCAUUCUGAGAUGUCUUAAAUGGUUUUAUUGAGAUUAUAAUAUGUAUGCCCAAAAUUCACCUAACCAAAAAUUUGAUGCUUUUUAGAAAAUUUACAGAGUUAUGCAAUCAUUACCACUGUAAAAUUUGAAAGCAUUUUCAUAACCCCAGAGAGAUUUUGUGUGUUCACUUCCAGCCCAAUGCAGGCAAUCACAAACCACUUCUGUCUGCAUAUUUGCCUUUUCUGUGAGUGGAAUCCUGUAAGAUUGGCCUUUUGUUGUCUGACUCUUUUGCUUUAGUGUUUAUUCCAUUGUACUGCUAAAGUGUCCAUUGAGCAUGUUCACCAUGUUUUGUACCUAUGGUCUGGUUAACGAGCUUCGGUUGUUUCAUGAGAACUGUGCAUGUACAUGUCUGCACAUAGAUGAAACAGGGUCGUGCUAAGUUGUCCAGACUGGCUUUGAGCUUGUGAUCCUCCUGCCUCAGCCUCUUAAGUAGCAGGGAUUACAGGCUGCACCAUUGCAUUUGUCUUCUUGUCAUUUCUCUUCUCAUUUCUCUUGGGUAGAUUCCAAGGAGUAGAACUGCAAGCCGAAUGGAAAAUGCCUGUCUAACCUCUGAAGAAACCACUGAACUGCUGCCCCAUCUUGCUUUCACAGCAGGUCCCAGCAUCCGUUCCCCCACCCCAGCAGUGCUCACCUGAUUUGGGAUUCCAGCCCUCUUAGUGGGUGUGAGGGGUGGGUGUCUGGGUGUGGGUUUGACUUGGAGUUUCCUGAUGAUCAGUGAUAUUGAGCAUCUUUUCAUUCGCCUGUUGUUCAUUCAUGUAUUUUCUUUGGAGAGAUGUCAGUUGAGAUCCUUUACUCAGUCUUUAAAAGGGUUUCUUUUUUUUUCUUGUUAUUGAGUUGUAACAGUUUUUUUUUUUUUUUAUGUAUUUUUUAGUUUUCGGUGGACACAACAUCUUUUAUUUUUUAUUUUUAUUUUUUUUAUUUUUAUGUGGUGCUGAGGAUCAAACCCAGCACCCUACGCAUGCCAGGCGAGCGCACUACCACUUGAGCCACAUCCCCAGCCCUGUAACAGUUUUUUAUAGUUGUAAAUGCAAGUUCUUUGUCAGAUGCAUGAUUUGUACAAUUUUUUUUUUUUCCUGUCUGUGGCUUAUUUUUUUUUCCCUUAAUUUCCUUUCCUCUCCUCUCUCUCUCUCUCUUUUUUUUUUUUUUUUCAUGGUACUGGGGAUUAUCCAGGGAUUCUACCUCUGAGCUACAUAUUCAGCCCUUUUUAUUUUGACAGGGUCGUGCUAAGUUGUCCAGACUGGCUUUGAGCUUGUGAUCCUCCUGCCUCAGCCUCUUAAGUAGCAGGGUUUACAGGCUGCACCAUUGCAUCUGUCUUCUUGUCAUUUUCUUUCUUUCUUUGUACCAGGGAUUGAACUCAGGGGUGCUUAACCACUGAGCCACAUCCCUGGGUCUUUUUAUUUUUAAUUUUUGACACUGAGUGUUGCUGAUACUGGCCUUGAGCUUGCACUUUUCUUGCCUCAGACUCCCAGGUUUUUUGUUUUCUUAGUGGUACACUUUAAGGCACAAAAGUUUUGAGUUUUGGUAAAGUUUAUUUUAUCUAUUACACCCUCUGUCACAUCUGCCUUGGGUGUUGCAUAUGAGAAGUCUUGGCCCUUCAGAAUACUGAGAGCCAGUUUCUGUAGUCGGUUUAGCAACAUGGAAGUUGCUGGUGAUGUCAGCAGUGCAGGGUUAUGCUCACUAGUGUAGGGUCGCAGCAUCAGUGAAAGGUGAGGUGGGAUCCUGUGGUGGCGACAGGGACACCUGGGCAGAGGGUGAGGGAGCCCUGUCUGGAUUAAUGUCUUUAAGAUGGAGGAGACAGGAAUGUUUUUAAAUGCUGACAGGAAGGGAGAGGCAAGGAAUAACUGAUAGCAUAAGCUUUCAAGGAAGGAGGAAGUCAUUUGUGUGGGUUUUCUUUUUUUUUUAAUAUUUAUUUUUUAGAUGGACACAAUAUCUUUAUUUUAUUUUUAUAUGGUGCUGAGGAUCGAACCCAGUGCCUCAUGCAUGCUAGGCAAGCGCUCUACUACUGAGCUACAACCCCAGCCCAUUGUGUCAAUUUUCUAUUGCCUCCAUAACAAGUCACCACAAAUUUAGCAGCUUCAGACGGUACAGCCCUGUCCUGCAAGUUUUGUAGGCAGGGUGUCUCUGAGGGUGUUCUGUGCCUUUGGGGUUAGGUGUACAGAUGCUGUGAACCAACAGUGAGGAGGCUUGUGCCAUCCUCCAUGAAGGCUGCGGUGGUGACCAUGUGAUGUGUGCCUGUGGGGUUGCCAGCAGGAUGUGACUGUGCUUGAUGCACCUAUUUCCCUGCCUGAGGACACAUGCUUGAUGCCUGUAUGCCUUGGGUCCCUGUAAGGCCAGCUGUCUGUGGCAGGAUCUGGGGUGAAUCCCAAGUCAGCUUGUCUCUGGUUCACCUUCCAAGCACAAACCCAGAACCUUGGCUCUCAUCUUGGGCUCUGCUUUUUUCUUUUUGGUUCUGGGAAUUGAUCCCAGAGGUGCUUAACCACUGAGCUACAUCCCCAUGCCUUUUUAUUUUUUAUUUCAAGACAGAGUCUUGCCAAAUUGCUUAGGGCCUCGCUGAAUUGCUGAGGCUGGCCUCAAACCUGGAAUCCUUCUGUCUCAGCCUCCUGAAUCUUGGACUCUACUUUUGGAAAAGCCCUAUGAAGACUGAGUAUAAGCAGCAGGGGACCAGGUCCUGGUGGUCUUCCUUAGCAGACUUGGACUUGCCAGUGGCCUCAGAUAGUAUCCAGGCAGAUGUGCUUUCAGAUGCACUCAGUGCAUUUCCCACUUAACAAUAUUUCAGUCCAGGAUGAGCUCAUAAGGGACGUAAGCCAUGGCAAGGGAAGGAGUAGCUGUGGUUCCUCCCCCCAAAAUCUCUGCCCCCAUAAGGCCAGAUACUGUGCUUAAAGCUCAGCAGUCUGUGUAGUUUUGUGCCUGUGACCCUGUGAUGGAGACUAACCCUUUGGGUCAUGUUUGAAAAGCUGCUCCCAGAGGGGUGCCCACACACAGGCAUCUUGGUCUGGGAACUGGCUUCCCUGCUGGGUUAGGAAGGAGUCUUCAGAGCCCCUGCCUCCAUCUGAUACUCAGUAACCUCACUUAAAGACGAGAUGGGUACUGUGGUGCACGCCUGUAAUCCAGCGAGUCAGGAGGCUGAGGCAGGAGGAUCGCGAGUUCAAAGCCAGCCUGAGCAACUUAGCAAGGCCCUAAGCAACUCAGUGAGACCCUGUUUCUAAAUAAAAUAUAACAUAAAAAAUAUGAGAAAGACAAACAGCAAGUCAGUACAGAUGAAGAGUGAGGGCACCCCAGUGUUUCUGCCCAUCUCCUCAGGCUUGAUGGAAACAGCCAGCCACAUGGAAAUUGUUGAUGUCUGAAGCAAAAAGGUGGCUGGUUGCAGCAGCAUUUUGAGGGGUGCUGUCUCCACACCGGCCACCUGGCCUGUCCUACCAAUCAGGGUGGAGUGGUGCUCUGGGAGUGCCUGAGAAGGGCAGUGGUCUUGGGAGAGCCACAUCCCCAGCCCUGCUGUGGGUAAUUUUUAAAGAAAGCACAUUGGCUCCAGGUAAGGGUUUCUGACUGGACACAGGCAAAUGCUUUCUCUCCCAAAAACUGCUAAAUGAAUGCUAAACUGAUAUUUUAAAACUUCACAUGGGAUGGUCAAAGUGGGAGAAGAGACAAGAGUGAUGGAGUUCUGGAAGCUAGAAUGCAGACAAGAGAGUGGCAGUUCACUUAGCGUAUCUGAGGAAGCCAGAUCAUGUGCUGGCACUGAGGGAAGCAGAUGAUGGGUUCCACCUGUGCUGCAGAACCAUCAGAAUUCUUCAGCAUCAAGCUGGGUGUGGUGGAGUGGCACACGCCUGUGUUCCCAGUGGCUGGGGAGGCUGAGGCAGGAGGGUUACAAGUUGGAGGCCAGCCUCAGCAACUUAGUGAGGCCCUAAAUCAACUUAGUGAGAUGUGCUGGGACUGGGAAUGUGGCUCAGUGGAAGAGUGCUCCUAGGUUCAAUCCCCAGUACCACCCCCUACCACCCCACCCCCCCAACAAAGUCACAAACAUGGGAGGUACAAGGGAUGUAAAAACCACAAAGGUAAACAGAAGACAAGGUGUUAACAAGAGUGAUCAAGAAGGUUUGAGAUGAUCUUGGAGAACCUCUAGAAACAAACAGUUGUUGCGUCCCAUGACUGAACACUCAAGGUCACUUCAGGUGAUCUGGGCUGCACAAAAUAAUCACACAGAGACAGAGAAAUACCUUUUUCUUUGGGUCUUGUGACGGCUCCUCUGACCUUAGGGGUCCAUGGAAAGAGAGUGAGGAGCACGUGCUGAACCCUUUUAUUGGGAAGAAGCCAUUCAAAUGAGGCAAGGGGUAGGAUUUCAAAGGAACAGUUGAGUGUAACUCAGCCCCUGCUGGUGACACCUACACCUGGAGCCAUGCCUCAUUAUCAGAGCUGGGCAGUGCCCAAGUCACUGCUACGUGCACUGCCAUGACAGACUAAGGCAACAAUUGGUCAGAAGCUGGUAUUUCAGGACUUAAGGGUGUUUGCAUCCAGGGCAGCUCCCGACAAACAAUAGUUGAAACUUAUAAAAACUUCCCACCAAUAAGGCUGGAGUAUACUCAGUGGUAGAACACGAUCCUUAGUACACGCAAGGCCCUGGGUUCCACCCAGUACUGCAGAAAACAAAGUUCCACCAAUAGGCUUAGUGUCCAGGUGCUCAUGGUUGAGAGACUAGAAGACAUUUGUCAAGAACACAGCAAAGAUGGUUGAUAAGAUGGGAAAAUGACAGUGAAGUUGGUUGAAAUGAGGAAGAUUGGAUGUACGACUUUAAGAUACAUUUGAUUUCAGCCCCAGAAGGGAAAAAUAGAAUGGAAAAGAGGUAAUAUUUGAAGAUCUGUCAGCUUCAGAAUAUUAUAGAACUGGUAAGAGAUUUGAAUCCAUAGGUGGUGAAAUUAUAGCUUACAGUUAUCCCCUUGUUCCGUGAGGAUACUGUCCAAGUCCCCCAGAGAUGCUGAAAACGCAGAUAGCACCGCGCCUCAUCUAUAUGCUAUGUUUUCUCUUAUACCUACAUACAUAGUCUAGUAUCGUCCCUCUAACUAGCUUGUGUCAUUCACUGUGGCCAUGCCUUUAUAGUUUGAGGUGCACCAGCAAAACUAGCAUGACUUUCUUUUUCCUUCACCACAAUUCCUUGGGUAGAUUUGUUUGUACUAUAGCUGUUAGCCAACUCAGCACUCAGUUUUCUCUCUUUCCUCAUGUUGUGAACUUUGACCUUUUCACUUAAAGGAAGCAUUUUACAACUUCUGUUUGGCUCAACUGAAUCACCAGUGUCACUGCUCCUGCUUUGAGGGCCAUUAACAUGGUUCUUACUGCAGCACAGCCUCCCAGAGCUGACUAUUGAAGCCAUGAUGGUCUUUUCAACUUGCCUGAAAUACCGCCCUUUUUAAUUAUGCCAGAAAGUGAAGCCGGUGGCCUUUGGGCCCUUGUGGCAGUGGGAGCAGCAGUAGUUGCUUCCCAGAGGCUCUGCAGGGGAGUCAGUUCAUGCUACACUGCAGACUCAUACUUUUAUGAUUACUGCACUUGAAGCUACAAAUUUUGAAAGUAUUCUACUAGCAAACUGUACAAACAGUUGAAUACUGGCAGUUAUUACACCAUCCAAAAGGAACCAAUUAAACUCAUUUGUUCCAAUAUCUGAAAGACUCCUGGCAGUGCACCGUGGAGUCUGCCUUCCCAGUACUCUGCCCAUGACAGUGGAGCUGUCUGAUGGCUCUUGUGUUGUCUGGGGUACUCUGUAGAGCUCCUGGGCCACAGCUACCUGGCAGGUUUUCUGGGCUGCUCACACAGCGCCAUCAACCUUGGUGGCAUUGUCACCAAAAAUCAGGAUUCGGUGAAAGUUCAGAGGUGACAAGUCUGUGUGCAUUCCAGGGAAGGACUCUGGGAGAGGUUGAGCCAAGACAACACCAUAGGAUGGGUAGGUUUCACUGGCAGGGUGAGCUCCUGGUCCUUCCUUGAGUUUUGGGCCUUGUGCUCAGAUGUUACGGGUAUGAGUGUACUUAGCUGGUAAUCGCCAGCCACAGGGCUUUGCUUAGCUCUACUGGCACCCACAGCAACCCUUAGCUGUUAAAGUAGGUAGGGAUGGCUCCUUGACCCCAUGGCUGGUGCCAUGGGGCAGUGCUAAUGAUGCAUGUUCACCCCAGGCCUAUGCUCACCCUGUUGUAUCAGGUACUAGGACAAUUGAUUUGGGACCAGAAUCUGACAAACCAGAGUCUGCAUAGAAUAGUCUUAGAGUAGCAACAAGGGCAGCCGUUACAUUUCCACAAGGAGCUCUGGCUCUCUAAUGAAGUUGAACUUCUAUCUGUCUGUCUAUCUAUCUAUCUAUGUGGUGCUAAGGAUCGAACCCAGUGCUUCACACAUGCGAGGCAAGCGCUCAACCCCAGAGCUACAGCCCAGCCUGAAGCUGAACUUUUAAGGGCUGGGGAUGCGACUCAGUGGUACAACACUGGCCUAGUAUGCCUGAGGCAUUGGGUCCAAGCUCCAGCCCCUCAAAAAAAGAAAAAAAAAAAUCAAGUUGAACUUUGAAAGGUGAAUCUGCCACUGAAGGUGAAGGUGGGCAGGAACUACUAGAGGCAGCUGAGAGUUAUUGUGCUGACUUCACACCUGCCUGUUUUUUAAUAUUGCACAAGAAUGAAGGUAAGAAAAAUGAUCCUGAGAAUUGAGUUAGCUUUCCAAAUGCUGUGGCGUUUAGGACAGAUAACAGAUCAAGAGUGAUGGAUAGCCCUGUGACCAUGUUGGGGUCUCUCCCUGGUGGUUAUGCUGGGGAGAGCCAGCUGAGGGGGCUGUGGGAGGCAGCAGAGCUGGGCUGGGCUGCAUGUGAGGGAUGAGCUGGUAAGAGUACUAGUCCAGUGUAGUUUGCUGGGGCCUGUGGUGCCUCCAGGACCAGGUUCCAAGGCAGUGGCAGACCUGUGGGAAAGGGUCUGGCCUCCUGGAGGAGGACACAGUCCUGGGCAGUGUAGAGGAAGCUGCAUGUUCUCUUAAGGCAAGACACAAGUGACUGCUGCCUGGGCUAGUGCACAUUCCUGGUGACCAGACUGCUCCUGAGCUAGAUCACAGCAUAUUUGUAAGGCCGCCCCUGAGCAUGAGUCCCAGAUAGACUUGUGCUUGGGCUGCUCUGGCCCAAGGCAUGUCAUGUUUUGUUUCUUCUCUCCGUCAGUUGGAUGAGAUAUUUUGCUUUCCCUUCUCUGGCUUCUUCCCUUAGAAUCCUCUCAGCACAACGGAGGCAUGCAGUAUGCGUGCUCAUGUACCUUCUUUCCAUUUCAUGUGGAGAAGCAGCUGCUUCUGUUGUGUGCCGAUUCCAGAUUCAAUUUAAAACUCAAUGAUUCUGAUUUUUCUGUUGUAAUAUUUCAUGGUAUGAAGCAGUACUCUAACCAAAGCAUGAUUUGAACAUGAACUUGAUGAUAUUGAUAGUUCACUAAAAUGCUUUUAAGCUUCAAAUCAGAAGUGACUGGUUUUUGAAAUGCUAAGCUUCAUGAAGAACUCACUGGGUUGGAUAUAUAGCUCACAUCUUAAAUGAAAAGUAAGCAAAGGGGCUGGGGUUAUAGCUCAGUAGUAGGGUGCUUGCCUAGCAUGUGUAAGCACUGGGUUUGAUCCUCAACAACACAUAAAAAUAAAUAAAUAAAACAAAGGUAUAUUAAAAAAGGAAGUAAAAAAUAUUGUGAUUAGGAAACAUGAUUGCCAGAGUAGAGUAUUGUUGCUUCUUUCUUUUCUCUUUGAAUUUCUAAUACUUGGGAUUAGAUUUGUGAGAAAUAUGCCCAAGAGUUACACAGGCAUCAGUGGCUCUUCUUUCAGCUCCUGAGGCCCUGCCACACAGGCCUGGGCUCAGCACUGACUAUCUGGGCUGUCAUGUGGCCUUCCCACAUGUAGCCCAGCACCGGGGUCCUCAUCCAGCACCGGGGUUCCCCCUGAGGAGAUGGUCCUCUGUAGAGCAUGUCUGGAUGGAGGGCAGUGGUCCAGCCAGCUGUCUAUGAGAGACAGAGGUACCCGCCACCAAAAUUCUCUGGUGUACAUGAGAGUGGGAGACAUGGCUGUGGACCUGGGCCUAGGCUGGGCUCUGCUGUACCAUAUGCCCAGAUGCCUCACUUUGCUGGCUUUGAGGGGACAAGUCUGUGCUCUCACUGGAACUUGUAGCCCCUGUAUAUGCUCAGGCUGCCAGACAGAGGCAGUGCAAGCACAAGUGAGUGCUGAGAUUGUGGUAGAGUGUGGUGGGUUGCUGCAGCCAGAAGAGGCCUGGGCCAGGGCCAGCCAUGGCUGCAGGCAUUUUAGAAAAGAUGACGGGGUUGGAUAUCGAUGGAACAGCAUCAGGUCUCUGGAGGCCAGAUGCCCAGGAGGCAGAAUCCUGCAGGGGAAGGACAAGAGCCAGCUUGCACAACUCAGGGCACCAUCCAGGGCUCCAGAUCAGUGGUUUUUGUUCCCCAAAGUGGAGGCUAGAAGACAGGGUUGGUCAAAGGCUGUCAGUGAUUGGAAGUCUGAAUCCUCUCCCUGGCAUCCUUGUGCUGACAGCUGUCCCCCAUGUGAAUUUUUUCUCUAGAGACAGGUUCCAGGGAAAAGGGAGGUAUUGGUAGUGGUCUCUGGUCCAGUUGAGGGGUGGAAUCCUGUGCCCAGAACCCUGGCAGCCAGGCCUUUCUCUCUGUACUGGGUUCUGCAAUCAUCCCAGAAAGAAACAGAGGUCUUAACCAGUGGGCCCAAGAGACGGUAUAGCCACACUGCAAGGACCAGACACACCGCAUCUCAGAGAUGUGAAACCCAGCUUCCAACAGGACAGACUGGCUCACUUCCCAGAGGUGGACUGUGCAGGGAGAUGAAUGUCAGAAGUCACAGGAGAGUCCUCAGGGUGAGAGCCUGUCCGCCCAUGAAGUGAGCAGGGUGCUGUGAAAGGCAGGAGAGCAGGAACGGGAUCAGGAAGAUGCCCUGCAGAAAGACAGGUAGGAAGGGGUGUGGGUCCAUCCCUGUUUCUGCAACAAAGACUUCAGCCCCAGUGACAGGAGUACAGUAGGUGUCCCUCACAGUCUGGGAGCUAGAAGUCCACAGUGUUGGCCCUGUCCUCCGUGCUGCCUUCCGUGUCCUCGGGUGGCAGAGUAUGUGGACGGUGGGACUUAACCAGGGCCCACCUUUGCACACCAUCAUGUUGGGUUUAGGUUCUAGCAUGUGGAUUUUGGAGGAUGCAAUACCUACAGGUUUAUUUAGGAUGGAAGGGAAGGUAACCUUCCUCUGAGCUGGCAGCUGCCCUUCAGUGGGAGGUGGUUCCUGCAGAUAGGGUGUUCCAUCAACUCUCAGGGCUCCUCAGAUCUGAGAGCUGCCUUAUGCCUUUUUUGGGGGGAGGGGGAGGCGGGCUGGGGCACCGGGAAUUGAACUCAGGGCCACUCAACCACUGAGCCACAUCCCCAGCCCUAUUUUGUGUUUUAUUUAGAGACAGGGUCUCACUGAGUUGCUUAGGGCCUUGCUUUUGCUGAGGCUGGCUUUGAACUCCUGAUCCUCCUGCCUCAGCCUCCCAAGCCACUGGGAUUCCAGAUGUGUGCCAUUGUGCCCAGCUGCUUUAUGCCUUUGUUGGGACCAAAGCUGCUUGGUUCACCCGAGACUGCUGCUGUUUCUUGCCUGGUACUGCCCGUCUUCCUUUCCCAUUUGGCAAUAUUCUCAUGACAGCAGGUUUCUUAUUUAGGGCCCUGGUCCUCUCAUUGCUGUCAGUCCAUGUAUUGGGAAGUGUUUUGUCUGUCCUGUCUGCCCACUUGCCUGGUUCAUUCUUUGUCCCCGAGACUGACUCAGGCACUUGGGUGGGGAGCCUGGCUGAGGGGUGGCUUCAGCCCUUUGACAUUUGUUGAGAGCUUCGUGCUUUGGGGUGUGGUCAGUUGCACAGUUUCAGAAAUUUCCCAUGGGCAGUUGAAGGAAUCAGUAUUUCCUCCCUCUGAUGCAGUAUUCUGCAUGCCCACCAGAGAAAGUCUGGCUGAGUGUGUUGUCUCCCUGCAACAGCACACGUUAACUCUCCCAUGCCUCCUCCUCUGUCCACGUUGCCUUCUGUGCUGUGACGCUGUGCACCAGGUCCAGAGGCACCCAUCCACUGUGUUGCUGAAGCCUUCUGUCAGCACUGAGGGAGCCACACAGCAGUUCCAUUUCUGGCUUUCUGAAUUUCAUGCCUUUAUGUGUUAUUAUUUUUAAAAUUUUAUUUGUUUUGUUUUUAGUUAUCAAUGAAUCUUUAUUUUAUUUAUUUAUAUGCAAUGUUGAGAAUCAAACAUAGUGCUUUACGUAUGCUAGGCAAAUUGUCUACCACUGCACUAUGACCUGAGCACCACUGUUUAUUUUUGGUGGGGAUGGAACCCAGGGGCACUCUGCCAGUGAGCCACAUCCUAACCCCUUUUGUUUUUUAUGUUGAGACAGGAUCUCAUUAAGUUGCCAAGGGCCUUGCUAAAUUGCUGAGCCUGGCUUUGAACUUGUGAUCCUCCUGGCUCAAAGUCCUGAGCAGCCGGGAUUACAGGUGUGCACCACCAUGCCCAGUUCAUGCCCUGCAUUUCAGAUGUGUCUCCUCUAAGAACACAAAGUCUUGCAUCAUUUAAGGAGGGGGACGUUCUGAGAAGUUUUCCGUGAAGUAACCUUGUUGUGUGGACAUUAAGAGUGAACCUAGGGGCAGGGUUGUGGCUCAGUGGUAGAGCACUUGACUAGUACAUGAGGUUCGAUCCUCAGCACCACAUAAAAAAAUUAAUUAAUUAGAUAAAGGUAUAAAAAAAUGCAAUAACAUUUUUAAAAAAGAAAGAAAAAAGAGUGAGCCUUGAUGGGGUGGAUGGCUACAGAGUCACCCAGUCCUGUGGGACUGCUGUUCUGGGUGUUGUGCGGCACAUGACUGCAUCUGGAUCUUUUCUCUUUUUUUAUUAGUCAUUUUAUUUAUUUUAAUUAGGUAUAUAAGACAGUAGAAUGCAUUUUGAUUCAUUGUAUACAAUUGCAGCACAACUUUUCAUUUCUCUGGCUGUACACGAUGUAGCGUCAUACCCCAUGUGCAGUCAUACAUGUACCUGGGGUAAAUGAUUCCACCAUCUUUCCUGCCCCCAUGCAUCUGGAUCUUUGAAGGUCUCGCCUGACAGCCUCUGUCUUUAUCAGACCCCCCUGGUCCAUUUAUAUUUAUUAUGAUUGUAAUACUGUGCUUGAAUUUAUUUAGGUAGGUAGUUGUCAGUGGAUUAUUUGUUUAUUUAUUUGUGGUGCUGAGAAUCAAACCCAGGGUCUCACACAUGCCAGGCAAGUGCUCUACCACUGAGCCACAACCCUGGCCCCUUGAAUUUAUUUUUGCUAUCUUACUUUGUACUGUCCUGUCAUUUUGGGGACAGUUCGCUUUCCUUUUUUGGCCUCUCAGUUAUUUUUUGUUUAUUUUAUUUCUGUUGUGUAUUAGAAUUUACUCACUCAUCUCCAGUAUGGUUACAAGUGGAUGUUUUAACAUGCAGAACCCAUUUAUCAAAAUCUAAAAUUCAUCUACAUUUUUGCCCUCCUUAAAUACCUGAGGCUUUAGAACCUUUGUGCCCGGCUAUGUGCGUCCCAUGGCAGGUCCUGCCUGUCUGAGCUCCAGCCGUCACCGUGUUCACCUACCUGACUUUCAGGAGUCUUGAGGGCGGGAUGUGGCUCUCCUUCCAGCCCACCAUAGACCCUCUGAGGUCUGGCUUCUGCGGGUUCCUCUGUGGAUUUCUUUUUCCCCUGCUUUCAUGCAAUCUGUAAACACAGCUCAAGGUCAGCUGCUGGUCCAGGCCCUCAGAGGCCACACUCUGGUCCCUCCCUUUCUCCAGGUUCCUGUUUUCCUUAAUCUUUGCUCUCUUGAGUUCUGAACAUUCUUGGUAACUUAUCAGUGGAUUUUCUGUGUCACUGGAGGAGCAUCCAAGGAGGUUCCCCAAAGGGGAGAGAGGGACCUAACUUGGCCUGGGUAGGCUCUUGACUUCUUACAGAAAAUAAUUUUGGGCACAUUAGAGUUCAGUGAAAGAAAGCAGUGGGACAGUGUGUGCACUUAGCAAGAGGGAGUAUGCAUGUGAGAGGGGGAGAUCGGCUUUCAGGGUCUUGGGCUCCUCUUUUACAGGGAGCUUUGAGGAAUGGCAUGGCAUUCCUGCUUCUGGAUCCCAAAUGCUACAGUGUCACAUGCUCUCAGGGUCUGGAGUUUGACAUAGUCCCCCAUCUAGAUGGUGGAAUGUGCCUACAUUACAGGUUUCUUAAAAUGCAUAUCCCUUUGAACAUGUAGUUUUGUAGACCAUCAGUGUACUUAAACUUUAAUCAAAAUAGGCAGCUUUUAUAAGCUUUAUAAGGUUUGUAGAUUUUUCAAGAAUAUGGGAGUGACAGGCCCAGAGGAAAAUACUAGUCUGUGAAGUCAGUCAAUCAUGGGCUUUUAGGGCCUCACAAGUCUCCUUCUCUCUCCUUUCUCCUGCAUCUGUCUUCGGGCCCUCUGUCUUGCCUCAGCAGCAGUUCUCGUCUAUUUGUCAUCAGAGGGUGGGUUGAAACCAUGCAGUUCAUCAUUCUGAUAUAAGGCAAGGUUUUCUUCAAAAACGUUGACUUCCAGGCUGACAUUGAAGCAUGGCUCCCGGCCAGGGCUGACUUCUCUCCUGGAGGAAACAUCCCUGGGCACAGAGAGGCCUUUCUCAUUCCUCCCAGUCAGUAGUUGCAGAAGACUGGCAGCUCUGGGAGUCUCCCCAGCCUCUGCCUCUUGCUGGGAUUCAACGUUGUACUAGCCUGAAGACUUUAGGGAAGAGGCUCUGGCAGGUGCAUCUUCUGAAGGAACACGCUUCUCAAGUUCACCAGCAGUUUUCUGAAGCGAUUCCCUCGGGGGCAGCAGGAUUCCCCUGAGUUCUGUAGGAUAAGUGUUUUUUCAUGCUGGCCCUUAACAUUGUGUCAUACAUUAUUACCUUUCAGUCUUCCUGACCAAGUGGUCCUUGCUCAGGACUUCUGAGAAACACACCAGCACACUGGGCCACCCACUGAACUGGCCCUGCCAUGUUUUUGCCUAAAACAGUGGUUGUUUUAUCUCUUAUGAAAACUAGAAAUGAGCGCUCAGCUCCUGUUGGUCAAUGUGCUCAAGAACCUCUAGCAGCCGGGCCUGCAGCAGGAAGCUUGCCAUUGCUCAUGCCCAGAGAGGGCUUUUCUCUCCCUGUUUUGGCUGACCUUGGACUCCUCACUCCUGUCUCUUUCCUUAGUGCUUUUCUCCAAGUGUCCUCCCUGGGGAGGACUGUAUUAUUCUUCCUGCUUCUGGGAGUCGGAGAACUUUGGUCUGAGAAUCUGUUGACUGCAAGUCCUGGGGCCAUAGAAACAACUGUAGAUUUCUGUUGAUGUGUGUGGAGAGGCUCACUAGGAAGACCUCUGGAUGUGGCCCUCCUUGGACACAUGGACAGUUCAGAGAGGAUGUGCAGAUGCGAUCUGGGAUGCUACCUGAACACAGGAAGACUUCCAGUAGUACCACAGGGCAGGUGGCCCAGGGCCACAUUGUGAUAGUAGCCAGGGCAGUGUGGAAGGAGGACAAACCCACAGAGCUCUGGGCAGGCACCUUGAAAGGUGCCAGGUAGUGACCCCAGCUUCCACAGGUCUCUCUUGUCCCUGGUAUUUUCAGAUGCUGUUCAGUUUCCCAGGUUUUCCCCUGGAGAGUGGGAAGGGCCACAAAGAUGGUCUUGGCCUUUGACUUCCCAGCCCAGCCUGGGGCACAGGGGCCACCCCAGUGAAUGAAACUACAGGGAUUCCUGCUGGUCAGUGGCAGGGCUCCUUUCCUGUCCUAACAGUCGCCAUCAAACCAGUACCUGGUGUCCACAUUGCAGGAAUUGAUGUUUGGGAGGUGCCAGGGCAGCCGGGAGCAGCCUGGACCAAAGUCAGGGUUAAGAGGCGCACAGCACAUUUGAUGGUAGGCUCCUUCACACACGUGCCACAGUCUUGUGCUUGCACACAUGUGUACACACAUGCACAUGUGCUCACACAUGGCCCGCCAGCCUUAGACAUGUGUCGGGAGAGAUGGGCGAGGGACGUGGUCUGCUUGAGGUGCUGCCAGCCCCAGAAGCAGAUUUCUGUUUCCGGGGGCUCAUUCUCCAAACAUACCCCAUCAGGGGCUGGCACAGAGUGUCUUCUGUUCCAGAACUCUGUGUAGGAGGUUGGAACCAAGAACCUUCUCGCCUACUCAUGACCAGAGCUUAGCUGCACCGAGGAAUGAGUGGGGUGGGGAGCAGCUAUGGGGUAUGGCAGGAGAGCCUGGUGCUGCUGUGUGAGUGGCUUCUUUCCUGCUCCUGUGUGUCUACGACCAUGCAGGCACUGUGGUCAGUGGACAGGCCUGCUCUGCACCUUCCUGGGACAGGCCUGGCCCCAGCUGCCAGGUGUCUUCUUUCUUUUACAGUGCUGGGAAUUGGAUGUGGGGCCUCAUGCAUAUUGGGCAAAUAUUCUAGCACUGAGCUAUAUCCGCAGCCUAGCUUCUGCCGGUGGUAUUGACAUUGCUCAGGCUAGUGACUCUAGCUGCUCUUUUUGCUCAAUAGUAGAGCACCCCUAGGUUCAAUUCCCAGUACCACAAAUAAAGUAUAAAAUGGGAGCUUAUGUUAGAUUGUAAAACAUAAUCUUGCUCCUGUUCCUGCCCCUUUUUGUCUUUUUAGUGCAUUCGUACUUUUCAGAUGAUAACCUUCUUUCCCAGGGCUCUGACAUGGCCCAUCAGGAGUGAAGUGAGCCAGUCAGGCUCCUGGAUCUCUGAGGGGCCUGCUCUCCUCAGGUGUCCGUCCUGGUACUCAGUGACACUGGGCAGGCAUGUCCUGAUCCUCAGGAGCAAGUGACAGGUGAGAAGGAAGACCAGGAUCAUGAUGUGGAAGUGCCUCUGUGAAGACAUCAAGCAGUCACUUCAUCCUAAAACCAUGUGGACUCACUAAGCAGCCGCCUGGCCUGGAGUUGCAGCAGUGAACAGAGACCUUGUUCUGUGGAGGGUUUUUAAAUGGUCGAUUGUGAAGAGACUUAGCAAGAGCAAUGCCCUGUUCCACAUGGUGCUGUGUGGUGCUCCCCUCCUUCAUAGGACCUUGGUCUUCCCCUGAUCCCAGGCCAGACUUGGAUUGGCACCUAGCAGGAGGAGGGUUUGGGCCGUGAGGUGGGUCUGUGUCCUGAUGCCCAUCUCCAGGAAUUGUCAGGUGCAGGCUGAGUCCAGAGGCUCAGCUGGUGUUUAGGCAGUGACAAUUCUCACACACUGCCAUGAGGUGGCUCCCAACCACACUCUUUUCUCUGUGAGGUUUGGUGGGACAUCUUCCUUUCUCCUUCCCAGAAGCAUUUCCAAAGCAGGUCCUUACUUACGGUAUUGAUCUCACAACUUGCCAACCUGCUGGAUCCCAGAGUUAGACUCAGUGUGGCCCUCCAGGGGAGAGGCUGGAGAAAGCAGCCUCCCAAGGCAGUGGACACCAGGAGUGCCCAGCUGCUCUCUGAGCCUACGCUGUGCUGAGCCAGUCACAGGCUUGGGGCUGAGAGAAUGGGCCAUUGUGCCCUGUGCACAGUCAGGCUUUCAGGGCAUGAACCAGCUCAUUGUGCAGGACUUGGAAAGCUGCUUGUAGACAAUCUUAAGAGUGGAACUUCGGCCUCUGGAAAUGCUAGCUGAGCAAAGACUUGUUCCUCCUAAUUCCUCCUUGAAACUCACUGAAACAAACAAAAAAUGAAGAGCAGGAAACAACAUAUCAUCCACAGUGGUUUGAAGCAGCUACAGCCAAGGAUGCCAGCCAGACAGGGAAGAACAGCCAUGGUGAGCUGGGGGUCGCAGCACUGGGCUCGCAGGACUGGGCUGGCGUUGAGCAAGAAGGGUUGCAAAGCACAGUGCUGGUGAGCACUUGGGCUCAGUGCUGCUGAGCCCUGCUACCAGAUGGGCCUGUGGUUCAGGGGCAGUUUUGUGUGCCCUAGGCUGGGCUCUGUGCUGCUGAGCCCUGCUACCAGACGGGCCUGUGGUUCAGGGGCAGCUGUGUGUAGCCUAGGCUGAGCAUCUGUGAGUGAGGCAGGCCCAAGUAGGCGCUCUACCUGUUUUCAGCAAGAUCCAGACUCCUAAUAGGGUGGGAUGGGACAGAUGUGUUGGCUCACACCUGUGAUCACAGAGGCUCUGGAGGCUGAGGCAGGAGGAUCACAAAUUCAAAGCCAGCCUCAGUAACUUAGACCCAAAUAAUAAAAUAAAAAGGGCUGGGGUUGUGGCUCAUUAUUUAAGCUCCUAUGGGUUUAAUUCCUGUUACCAAAACAGAAAUAAGCAAACAAACUAGGGUGAAAUGGGGAAGGAGAGAAAGGGGGAGUCUUCAACUGCUACUAGGUACCCAUCUUAGCAGUUUCUUAGAUUUGGCUCCCCUGGUGUAUGGGCCAAGAAGAGGCCUCUUCUCCUGACCCUUGACUCCAUUGAACCUCUGAAGUGGGCUGAUAGUCCCUGUCUGAGGAGCUUGGGCCCCUGGGUGUGGUUGCCCCUCCCCACCCCAGAGUACAGAGAAGGGAUGGCCUACGCAAGGAGGCAAGAUGGGGACACAGGCCAGUGCAGGGCCCUGGAUGCCUUCUUAGGCUUUACGUGAGCCACUAGGAAAGAAGCUUCUUGGGGGUCAGUGCAGCUUGGGAGGUUUGGGGUUUGUACAGCCUGCCUGCCCGAGCAGCCACUCAAAGCAUGGAGAGGCCUUAGCCUCCUGAGGGCCCUGAAUGGCGUGGGGCCCAGAGAGCUGCUGUGGCUCCUGUCUCCACAACUAGAGAACCUGCUAAGACCAGAAACUUGCCUCCAGAGAGACCAGGAAGAAAGUUUGGUGGAGGAGCAAUCUGGAAUGAUACCCGGUUUGAGGGCGCUUCCCUUUCCUUAUUUAAAGGUAUAGGAGUUUGGUGCAGCUCAGUGAGAGAGUACCUGCCUAGCAUGCGCAAAGCCUAGGCUCCAUCCCUAGCACCACAAAAUAAAGAAUGAAAAAAAAAAACGUGAUGAUCCAGAGGCCUCAGGCACCCUCAUGUGGACGCUGGUAGGAGAGGAAGAGUAAAGGGAAAGAGCACAGCCGAAAAAGAAUAAACAAAGUUGCAGCCCAGGAAGCAGAAUGGAACCUUCUCUGUAUUAAGUACAAAAUUCAAACUGCAUGAAUAGGGAAGAGAGAGUUCCAAAACAGUGAGCUGGCAGAGCUCGGAAGAACAAACAGUGAAGCCAUUACCGCAUGAGGCCCCCUUAGCAGGAAUAAGGGGCCAGGCUGCUGGGGAGAAGAAUGGAAGCAGGAAGGCCAGCAGGGCGACUGUAGCUCCCAGCAGUUGUGAGGGAUGCCAGAGCAGGAGCACUCUGGGUGAAGGAAGCUGAGUGCACAUUGAAGGGCAGGUUUUACUCCUGGAAGAACUGGCUGCACAAUGACCAACAGUGCUGGGCCUGUGGCACACACCUGUAAUCCCAGCUAGGCUAAGGCAGGAGGAUUUAAGUUUGAAGCCAGCUUGGACACUUAGCAAGACCUCUUCCAAAAUAAAAAGGGCUGAGGAUGUAGCUUAGUAGCAGCACACCCCUGGGUUUAAUAACCAGUACAAACAAAACAACAAGAACAAAAAGACCAGUGUUCCUGAGCAUUUGGGAAAUGUUCUUCCUAUAAACCCAUCCACCUGGCUCACAGCAUCAGUCUACUCCAGAAGGCAGCAGAGCAGAGCCUUACAGUUCUGAGAAGGGGAGAGAAAAUUGUCAUUCCCAGAAUUCACAUGGAGCCAAGUUGCCAUGAGGGUGUGGUAUGGCAGGAAAGCUUCAGGGGGAGCCUGCAGAACCUGUGGAAAACCUCGUCAAAGGUGCAGUAUGUAAGGAAAGCAAACACUGAACUUUGAGGCAGAACAACUGAAAGCUGUGGUUAUAGAAGAGAGUGUGAAGAUUUAAGACUCUGAUAAUGUCUUAAAUUUAAAACAAAUUGUGUUUAGAGAGAAACCAAAGGCUAAGACUACUGCCUGUAAUUUUGAAAGCUAUGCAUGAGUAGAUAAAUGACUAAAAUGAAUAAAGUGAAAAGAAAUUAAAAGGCUAGGCUUUAAUCAUUUUGACUGAAAUUGGGAACAAAACAAAAAUGCUUACUAUUUUGAUUUUACCAUCAUUCUGAACAUUUUUUGUCAGUGCAGUAAGAUAUGAUAUAGCAAUAAUGUUUAUAAAUGUGAGAAAAUUUUCCUGGCAAAAUAAACUAUGUAUUAAACUUGAAUUGGUAAAAAUUCCCUUGGGUGUAGGGUCAGCCUUUAAGGGGAGGAAGCUUGAAAAUGGGGUCAGCCUCCAAGGGGAGGAGACUGGAUUCGUCUGGGUCAGAGUUGGAGCCAUUGUGAAUUCACAUGUGGCAUGUAGCUACAGGUGGAUGUGUGCAGAAAUAGCUGUGGAUAUGUGCAUGCACUCGGGUGAACACAUGCAAGCCUGACUCCUGUGUGUGAGCUGAGAGAGUUGAGAAGCAACAGUCCUUGGAACAAACAUGCCUAGAAAUCAGAUGUUGGUUCUAAUACCAUCCCUGAAUAAAGGGAGCCAGCAGUCCUUGGAGAAAUGACUGAAAUGAUGGGGUCAGGAAGUACAAGAUGAGCCUGGAACAUCUUGCAGAGGCAGAAAAUCAGGAAGAGCCAAAACAAACACAGAACACCACAAUGGCAGUAGUUUGUGAAGGGGCCCCAAUAGUGACAGGAGCUCCCAACCAACAAGCUAGCACUUGGGGCAGAACCCCAAGUCACCCUGGAGUACAACCCAGCGUGUGAAAUGAGUACCCAUAAGUGCCAGCUGACAUGAAUAAAAGACCCCCCCCAAAAAAAGCAAGAAGAACAGAUAAAUCUCCCCUGCAAAAAGAAAACCAUCCAGGGAGACAAGUUUUACCUUCUUUGAACCCAACAAAAUUGUAUUUUCAGGAAAAUAGACCCAUGCUGUAGUGAAAAGUUAAUCAAAAUUGACAUAGAUGUCAUAAUUUGGACAAGGGCCUCUGGAAGGAAGACUGGACAUCUCACAUAUAGACAAAGAAGGUGUCUAGAGACACCAGAUGGAACUAGACCCAGACCCAGAAUGUCCAAGCAUGGAGUACCCUAGUGGGGUUGGUGGUAGAGUAGACAUUGUAGAAGGGAAGAGGAGCAAGCCUGAAGUUGAGUGGAGACACCGUCCACACGGAACAGUCACUGAGGAAACAACAAGCAUCCCUGGGCUGCCCUGGUGUCCAGAGCCUGCUGUGUGCGGAAGGUCAGGAGGAGGCCCAAAGCACCAAGCUCGAUGGAGACACGUUUAAACCCAGAUCUGAUGUCUCAACACCAAAGUGCAGAAGCAACACACAGCAUCUGUACCAAGUUGCUUAGAACCUGUCACAGAGUUGGCUUGAGAGCAGGCAGAGAAGACAUCACGUGGCCAAGAGAGAAAAUGUGGCAAUGACACCUUUCUGUCAGAAAUAAGGCACAAGAAGACUGGUGUCUAAAGCCCCAAAGAAAAGCCUAUUGCCAUGCACAAGCCUCCCGUGUAAAGGUGGGGUGAGGCACUGGCACACCUGCAGAGGCAGGAGUGGCCCAUUUGCAGAGCAGGAAAACUCAGACUCGAGAGGAGACCAAGUGGAUGUGAGUUAUGCACAUGGGAGUAGAGGACAUGGGGUGGUGACCGCAGGUGAAUGCGGGAUGCUUGACUUGUAAUAAGAUGAAUAGCAUUGUGGCAGAAUGAGGGGUGCUUAACAUGUAGCAAUAGAGUAUAGGACCAGAAGGAAAAAAAAAUCCAGGAGAGGAGAAAUAAUAGACUCCUAUAUUUGAAGUGAUAUUAUUUGACUUGAAGGCCAUGAUAGAUAUGAGUACCACAAACCCAGAGGUGUUUACUAAGAUAGUAAUGAAUUCCUGCUAAGUCAACAGUGAGGAUAAAGGUGAACCACAUGACAAUCCAAAGGAAGGCAGACAAGAAGGGCAGAAAACCAACAGCAAGGUGUUGGGCUUAGACCUUGUCUAAGUCCAGUCCCCAAUGCAGCUGGCUCAUCACUGGAGUAGAGCCGACUGUCAGAUGAUGUGAAAAUCAGCACUCAGAUAUUUGACCCACUUUUAAGACUUAAAUAGGCUAAAGUGAGAGAAGGACAAAAGGUGCAUGGGUCUAGCACUGAUGGAAAGUGUGUUGGAAUUACUGUAGCAGCAUCCAAUAUACUGAUUUCAGAGCCAAGAAAACUACCAGGAUAAAGAUAUUUCAUAACAAUAAAGGGGUUAGCAGAGAUACAAAUCCGUGAAGCAAAACCCAGCAGAACUGCAAGGAUAAAUAAGCCCACAGUUCUGUCAGAGGGACUGGCAAUACCUGCCAGUUGUGGAAGAACCAGAGAGGAUGCUCACGGCUGCCGUCAGCCAGGGCAACGUCACCAGCUUUGCAGUGCUCUACAACAAGCAGCACACUUCCAGUGCACAUGGAUGGGAAAGAGGGUAAAUAUUCUUGUCAAAAUGAAUGUUGAAUAUCAAUAUGAAUAUCCAGUGACUAUUCACCAAAAUAGGCUUUUCCUGGGCCAUAAAGUAUCUUAAUAAACUUAACUCCAAAUCAUUUAAAAUAAGUUUCAAAGACCAAAAAAUGGAAUUAAAUUAAAAACCAAGCUGGGCGCUGUGGCGUACGCAAGGUGGGGAGGCUAAGGCAAGAGAACAACAAGUUCAAAAACGGCUCAGAAGUAACAAGGCGUUAAGCAACUCAGUGAGACCCUGUCUCUAAAUAAAAUGCAAAAUAGGGUUGUGGGAUGUGGCUCAGUGGUCGAGUGCCCCUGACUUCAAUCCCUGGUACCAAAAUGAAAUAAACAUGUCUGGAAAGUUGGCAGUUAUUAAGUGACAUACUUCUGUGUAAUUCACAAGUCAAGCAACUAAAAGUUUUUUGAAUCAGAUGAAGACGAAGACAUAGCUCAUCAAAACUACUAGGACAGAGCUGGAGCAGAGGAAGACUCUUUUUCUUUUAUUUUGAGACAGGGGUCUUGCUAAGUUGCUGAGGCUGACUUUGAACUUGCAAUCCUCCUCCCUCACCCUUCUGAGCCACUAUUACAGGUGUGCACCACUUUACCUAGCACAGAGGAAGAUUUUAAAGACCUAAUACCUAAGCUGGAUUUUUUUUUUUUGAAGGGUGUAAAAUAUUAAUUCUACUUUCACCUUAAGAAACUAGAAAAGGAGAAUAAAUUAAAUCCAAAAGAAGCAGGGGGAAAUGAAAUAAAGAUCACAGUGGAAAUUAAUCAAAGCAGAAAUACAGACAAAAUAUUGAGGCCAAAAGCUAUCUUUUUGAGACCAACAAAACUCAGCCCUGUGUGUGUUGAGCACAUUGGUUCCUGGCCAGAAGCCUUCCCACACAGAACGCUGCAUGCCUAGGUGGCUUCACUGCGCUCUAACACACACCUGGGAAAGAAACAAACUCUUGGAAGUCCCCAAGAAAACCACAAGAGGGAAUACAUCUUCACCCAUUUGAUCAUGCCAGUGUUGUCCUGACACUACCAGAGAUACUGCAAGAGGAACAAAAAGACCAGGUUCAGAAACUUAUUUUUUUAGUUGUAGACAGGCACAAUGCCUUUGUUUUAUUUAUUUAUUUGUAUGUGAUGCUGAGGAUUGAACCUUGUGCCUCAUAUGUGCUAGGCAAGCCUCUACCAAGCCCCAGACGUAGAAAUUCUUGACAGAAUUUUUUGCCAGUUGAAUCCAAGAACAUAUGAAAAGGAUAAUUGCAUCGUGACUGUUUUUGUCCAAGGAAUGUGCAGUUGGUUUGAUGUUAGAAAACUAAUCCAUGGGGGAAAAAAAAAAAAGAAAACUAAUCUGUGGAAUUCAACUUAUCAAAUUAGAAAAGGAAAAUCAUGUGAGAAAAAUAUUUUCAGUAGAGAAAAAUAUUUUCCAAAAUCCACCAGCCUUUCCUGAGUUUAUAAAUAACUUGACAAACCAGGAACACAAGGGAGCUCUCUGAACCUGGCAAAAGGCAUGUACGAGAAGCUGCACUCACAUUCUCAGUGGGGAGGACUGGAUGCUUCUCCAGUACUACCAGUGCCCACCCUCACCAGUUCCAUCCAGCAUCGUUCUGGAGGUUCUUGCUAGUGUGAGACAACAGGACCAAGGAGAAGGAUCCGGGCUUGAAGAAGUGAAACUGUCAUGGUUCUCUGCCGACAUGAUCAUCUAUGCAGAAAACUGGUUGAAGCCACAGAACAGCAACUAGACUGGUGAGUUUUGCAAGUUAUGGACACACCACCAAAGUGCAGAAAUAAGUAGCAUCUUUCUGUACUAGAAGCAAACAACUGGAAGUUGUUUUUAGAUUUUUGGCAUAACAAUGGAAAGGCUGGGAAUGUAGCUCAGUGGUAGCGAACUUGCCUAAUAUGUGUGAGGACUGCGUUAGAUCCACAGCACCACAAAAGAAAAGAAGCACAGGUGUGCCAGGACUGGUAGUGGUGCCCGUUGUCCCAGCUACUCAGAAAGCUGAGGCAGGAAGAUCACUUGAGCCCAGUUCAAAAUCAGCCUGAGCAACACAGCAAGAACCCAUCUUAAAGAAAAGAAGGGAUGAAGGAAGGCAGGCAGUCAGGAAGGAAAGCGUGACUGAGGAGUGCAUUUACGAGGUAUGUGUAGAAACUGCAGAACAUUGCUGGAAGGAAGCAGACCUUGCUAGCUGGGGAAAGAGGCCCUGCAUGGCCUCAGAAGACUGCUUGAAUUUCCAGCUGAACCCAGCAGGCUCUGAUGCAGACUGAGAAGCUAUUCCUGAAAUUUGUGUGGGAAUACAAAGACAAACACCCUCAAGACCUCAGGGCACAUUUUGAGGACUGACAUUGCCUGUAGCAUUUUGGGGUCACCAGUGCCCGGUGCCCCAACUGCAGAGUGCUGUCUGGAAAGGAUGCUGGGAUCCAUGUAGAAGGACAGGCGGAGGUGAUCUGGCCCCCACUGCCAGUGCUGUGGGCCGGGCUUGAAGGAAGAAAGGUGCAGGUGGAAGGGGUGGGUCUGAAGUGCUUUGGGCUCUGGCAAAUAAUUGGCAGUGUUUCCAAUUUUCACUAACACUGCCAUUUUACUCUUUUAAAACGUGGAAACCACUCAAGUUCUCCUAUUUUCUCAAGAAAUUAGGAAAAUUUGAAUUAUAUGUUUAAAAAUAGCAUUCCUAAAAGCAAGCAAACAAAUAAAUAAAUAAAAGUCGCAUUCCUAGUCCUCUGAAUUUGAAUGAAUGGUGUGUUGUUAUUCUGGUGGUGUAAGAAGGCUGGAGAGGGACUCGCCACCCAUGCCUGAGUGGGUCUAGUGGGCCUAGCCUGGGUCUCUACUCCACAGGGUACUGGGGGCAUAAAGGUUCUAUAUGCUGGCUCUGCCUUCUCCCAGCCCUCACCAGCCCCAGGUGUGCAGGGAGCAAGGUGAUAAACCCCACAGUGAUGUCCCUGCUCUGCACUGCCACGGGCUUGUUCCUGUGGGGUACGCCUGUGGGAAAACAUGAGGGGCAAAUAGCUCUGUGCCCCACAUAGCAGCCCUGGCUUGAGCUGGCAAUGCCAAAGUCCCUGUCACUGCCUGAUUUCUAGCAGCAGUGUUUGUUCUUGAUGGGUUCUGAACUUUGUAAAAGAGAAUCAGGUUCAGUUAUGUGUGGCUCUCUUCCCUGGACUCAGGCCUGGGAGUCUCAUGGCAACCAUUGGGGGGCCGGGGAACAUCAGGCUGUGUUCUCUGAGGGUCCUGCUUGUCUGGGCACCUUGGCUGUCAGGCAGAGUGCUGCUGGUAACAGAUGCUAGCCCAGGUGCCAAGAGCCCUGCACAUACCUCUGCAGCCUCCACAGAGGAGGCAGAGCCAGGGGAUAGGUGGGCAGGUGUGUUCAGCUUAGGAGAUGCUGCCGCUCCUGGAUUGGUGGCUCUUGUGCUUUCAAUUAGCAUUUUCCUGAGGGCAGAGUUGCGCACAUUUCCUAUAGGCCCCUCUGCCUUUUGUCUUGCUUAUUGGUAGGAACUUUUGUGUGUUCUGGAUUUGGUCUUGGACUUGGGGUUUUUUUGUAACAGCUGUUCUACUUGAUUGGAGGCAGUCCAUGGGAUUCCUAUGUGAGUCAGGACUGGAAGAUUUUCUUUGUCCUCCAAAAGCUGUAUUGUUAGCCUACAUGUGGUGUUGAAGCCCAUGAUCCAGCUGCUCAGGAGGCUGAGACAGGAGGAUCCUAGCUCUAGGCCAUUCCGGGCCACUUAGCAAGACCCGGACUGAGAAGUGACUCAGUGCCCUUGGGUUCAAUCACUAAUAUUCCUCCUGUCCCCGAAAGCCAGUCGUUUCACUUCUAGCAUUCAGAUUUACAGUGUUUCUGUAGUUGGACUUGGUACCUAGGCUGAGUGUGGGGUCCAGGCCCAUUUUUUCAUGUGUGUAUCUGGCCAGUGCAGAGAGCCAUCCUCCAUCACAAACCAGAUCCGUGUGAUCCAUGUGCACAGGGUGUGCUGCCCGUGCAGAGCCAUGCUGUGCACUGCACAUGUCUGCUGUGCUGUCCACCUGAGUGGCAGUGUCUGUGUUCACAGCUGAGGACGUGAAGGCUUGGGUGUCAGGUGCCAGUGGGAGCCCAGUAGACUUCAUGGUCCUGUGACCUCGAGUCCUGCAGCCCCUCCAGUGGGCAGCUGGCAGGAGGUCUCCCCAUUGCCAAGGAGGGGCUGGGCACAAGGAGGCUUCUAGGGGUUUGGCUGGUCAGGGAGCUCCAGGCCCUGGGAGCCCACUUGGCCUUGAGGGGCUGGAUUGUCAUGGUCGUACAGUUUUUCCACAUCGGUGCUUAGACACUUCUCUCUUGUAGAGCGGCCCCUUCCUAUAUGAUGCUGGAGAAGGCAUCCUGAUGACCCUGUGACAUCUGUCCACCUCGGUGCUCAAGACCCGAGCGCAAUGUCCCAGACCCAGGACUAUGAAUGUAGAAGCCAUCAUGUUGACGGGCAGGAGUCCAGGAUCCCAGGAUCCAGCACCAGGUAAGGAAGCGCUGUGUACACCUGAGCAUUCCUGGCCUCAGGUGAGUGGGAAGGAAGGGUUCUUGGGGAGGUGGGUGCAGGACUCCAGGGGGGUCAUGCUCAUUCUCCGGGUCCUGAGCACCUGCACAGCUCCUCACAAGGCUUUGCCAUGGCUGACCUGUGCCUGCCUGUGGGAGUCCUGCUUUAUCCACCACAGCCUCUCACUGCUGCCUUGUCCACUACAGAGGCCACAUGCCCCACGUGGGAGCCCCUGUGCUCAGCAUGGUUCCCCAGGCCUUUCUGUAGGCAUUGGUCCACAUAGACGCAAUAGCCUUAGUACAUUAUUUUCAUUUUCCUAAUUUUCAGCUUUUUAUUAGGAAAUAUUGCACGCUUACCGAAAAGUUACAAGAAUAAGAACAAUCUGGGGAACACUCAUGUGCCCUGGCCCCACAUCACCUGCUCUUAGUAUUAAUUGCUCAAUCCCUUUUUCUGAGUCAUUCUGGAGCAGGUCCAUUUCUUAGGCCCCUGGCCCUUGAGUGUGUGUCCCCUAGAUAACCUGCCCUUGAGCCAGGACCCUUGCCAGGAUGAGCAGAUGUGCUGUUGACACACGGUCUGAUUUCCCCUGCUGUCAGCCCUGUGCCAGCCGAUUCUCUCUGUCCGUGGCAGCACUCCCUGACCCUGUGCAGUGCAGGGUUCCUUGAUGGAUUUUCUUCUGGCUUCUGUGUCUUUAGACUUUUCUGACCUGCAUGAUUUCUACAGCCUCUCCCUGUCUUUUGUGACCCAAACCCUUUUAAACAUGAUUGUCAUCCAUUCUUAAAUAGAACAUUCAAUAAGAGAGGUAGGGUUACAAAUUAAUCUAUAAGGUAUACUCAGCAGGACCUCAUUUACCUACUUGGUUUCUGUUUGUAAGAACUGUUGGUGAGGCUAGGGUUGUAGCUCAGUGGUUGCACUCACCUAGCAUGUGCGAGGCCCUGGGUUCAAUCUUCAGCACCAUAUAAAAGUAAGUAAAUAAAAUAAAGUCAUUGUGUCCAACUAUACUUACAAAAUGAUAAAUAUUAAAAAAAAAAAAAAAAAAAAAAAAGAAGAAGAAGAAAAAGAAGAGCUACUGUUGGUGUGGUUUCCAACUUUCCCCUCAUUCCUAUACAAAUGCAGUCCCAGCAUUUGUCUAAGAGAGGCUGAGGUAGGAGGAUCACAAGUUCAAGGCCAGCUUCAGCGAGUUAGCAAGACCCUGUCUCAAUAAAAAAAUAAAAAGUGGUAUGGAUGUCAGUGGAUAAGCGCUUCUGGGUUCAAUCCAAUCCCAAGUACCAAAAAAAAAAAAAAAAAAAAAGUCUCUGUGCUCCCCACGCAGUCCCUAGCAACUUCCUGUAAGUCAUUGCCUCUCACCAUCACAACUGUCCUCCAUUACUGCAGCUUCCCAGGCCAGUGUUGUGUGUUUCCCAGAAUCUGUUCCGCUGGGCCUGUGCAGUCACAUGCGCUGCUGCAGAAGCAGCCUGUUCCUGUGUAGCAUUGCUCCUUUUGGAGAUGGAUCUUCUGGUGAACUUCUGACGAGGAACACCUGUGAAGUAUGGUGCUGCCACGGCCCACAUAGGGCCUGUGCACUGCACCUGCCAGUCCACCAUGCCUCCCACAGGCAGCUCUGCUGGGGCCUCUGCUGGUAGCAUCUCAUGACUGACGAGGCCGGCAGAGAGGUACUGUGUAUCACGCUUCACCCUGUGCCAUACUCUUUUUCUCCUUUUCCUGUGGAGUUUUUAUUUGUCUGUGCUCUGUUCUGUAUACCAAGGAUUUGAGCCCUUUAUAAUUCAUAUUACAUAUGCCCCACUAAUUUGUCCAAAAAGCAGAAUCUUUUCUGCUUUACUCAUGGCAUUUUUUUCUUGUGUAGUUCUUAUGCAGCUGAACGGGCCAGAUUCAUCUUCCAGCGUGUCUGGAGUUUUAGUCCCCUCCAUCCCGACAUUGGGUUACGGUAUGUUUGGUGGUGGUGCUGGCAGUUCUGUUUGGGGGGGGUGGUCCUGGGGUUGAACCUAGGGCCCUGUGGUCCAAGGAGGCAUGUACUCCACACUGAGCUGCCCUGACCCCAGAGUUCCAUUUUUGCCCUUAUGUCUUAGAUCCAUUUGGGUUUAACCUUGAGUGAGGUGUGGACCCGGCUCUUUGUUUUCCAAACUGCUGCAGCUAUCCCAGCAUCAUGAUUAAAGACUGCCUUUCCUUGACCUGAGACCUCCACAUCCUCUGACCACUUCCUGGGUGUCUUUGAGGAGCUGGGGCUGCUUAAGCUCCUGUGUGACUCUGUUGACCUCUGUCAUGUGCAGGCUUCACUACCUGAUGGAGGCAGUUCCCGAUAGCACAGUGGGGUCUGGCACAGUUCCUCAGUGAGCUGGUCUUCCUGUGUAGUGCCCCACAUUCCCCUUAUGCUGCAGAGGGCCAGGCAGGUCAGCAGUGGCUGAUGGUGUUUUGGCUAUUUUUCCUUUUGUGUGUUUGUGCUGGGGAUGGAACUGAGAGCGUCACACACACUAAGCCUGCCUUCUAUCACAGAGCCACACCCACCCCCAAGCGUGGUGUGUCUCUUUAUCAUUGUAUUGCAAAAGUUCUUCUUUGUUGUGUUGUUUGUUUAUUUUGGUACUGGUGCUCAAACCCAGGAGAGCUCUACUACUGAGCCACAUCCCUAGCUCUUUUGAUUUUUUUUCAUUUCAGGGCCUCACUGAUUUGCUGAGGCUGGUCUUGAAUUUGCAAUCCUCCUCAGCCUCCUGAGUUGCUGGGACUACAGGUGUGCACCACCAGGCCUGGCUGCACAUGUGAUUUCAAUGCUUUGGAUCUGAGUCCUUGUCACAGAUACCGUCUGUAGCGCGUGUGCACUCCUGGUGCAUGGCUGUAUUCAUGUGGUGGUGGUGGUGGUCUGUGCUGGAGGCUCAUCUCUGUUGAGUUCAGUACCUCUGCUGCUUCUCUUGCUGCUCAUGUUUUGGGUGUCGUCGUCUAAUCCAGUACCAGCCCCAAGGUCAUGAAAAUGUACCCUCUUGUAAGCUUUAUGAUUUUAGCUAUUCUGUUGCAUCCUUGACCCAGUCUUCACUCUUUUGUGUGUGGCCUAAAGUGGGGUUACCUUCGCUUUCCUGCAGGGGUGUCUGCCUGUCCCAGCACUGUUGCUGAGACUCUCCUUUCCCCUGUCAAGGGGUCUUGACACUGCAUUGUUGGAGUCUGGGGAGCAGGGAAUGUGCCUGUCUCACCUGGUAAAUUUUGCCUGAUAUGUAUUUGGCGUUCACUGAAGUCAUUCUGGAAACAUUUGUCUAGACAGAUCAUUGUCUGAAAGUAGACAUCUCCAGAACAGGAGCAUUGUGAAGGGUCCUUUUGCAUCAGCACCCAAGGGAUUGCUGGAGAGGACCUGUUUCCUGCUGUCCUGUAGGGGCCUUUGUUUCUGCUGUCCUGUAGGACCCAGGGAUUGCUGCUUCUCUUACCCUUCCACCUUCCUUACCAGAUGAUUUUUUCCCUGUGCAGUUCAUCAUAAAUAUUCUUCUCACCAAAUAAGUCUUCUCAAACACUGCUCAGAUUAGGGCAGCAGGAGACUACCAAACUUCAGCCAUUUCCCACUUACAGGGUCCAGUCCCCACUGGUGGUGAAGCCCCGAAACUCCUUGGGCAGUUCCACAGCUGCCAGUUACGCUCUCCUCACCUGCUUAGUUUGGCACAGUUUAUCUGUCACCACCUACUGACAAAGCUCUUUCUCUGUGCAGUCCCCUUGACCUGGGGGACUGGCAGCCCCCACUGACCCGAUGCUCAACUGGACCAGACUACAGCCCCAGGACAGGAUGCGUGUUCUUCAAUCCAUAGUGCUGAUACCCCCCUUGCCCAUGAGGAGAGAUGAGCAAUCCCAGACCACAACCUGCACAUGCCACAACCACCAGCUGUGUCCCGCCCUAUCCUUAAGGUCCAGCUCCAGCCAGAGUUCCUGGAGCCUCCCCAGACUUGGUACCCCUCUGAGUUCUGAAGUCCCUUGCCUUGGAUGUCUGUGGGUCCUGCCCAUACCUGUCUGGGCAGUGACUCCCUGGGGCCCAGUGUUCUCUACACUUUUGCCUGCCUCUGUUUUCUCAGGAUCCUGGCUGAAUGCCAUCCCCAGGAGAUACCAAGAAUGUGCCUUUGAAAAGCCGGCUCUUGCCACUUGUGCAAGGAAUGCACUAAAAAGGGAACAAAACCUGUUCUCUGUCAAGUCAUGGUUAGUGCAUUAUAUUCACGUUUUAAAGAAAAAUAAGAAUUGUUAUUGCUGCUUUUAAGACUCAGAAUGUCAGUAGUGUGCUUUGAAAGCUUCUCUGUAUUCAGAUUCUCUGGGGAGUAUCCCAACUUUGUUCUGAUAAAAUCUACCACUGGCUAGGAGAGAAAGUGAGAGUAGCAGCCUCAAGGAGUGAAGUGGGACCAUGUGGGCAGCCCCUGCCAGCAUCCCAGGGCCAAGGGACACUGAGCCCAGGCAGUGGCAUUGAAUCUUAUCACAUUCACCCUUGAUCUGUCAUUGGUGUGCUCCCCAAGUUCUGGCCCCAGACCCUACACAGUGCUGCCAAAACCCUUGCCUCGCCUUCCCCGCCCCCUCCUCUGUCACCUUCUUUCCUGGAAAUGCUCCACCCAUCUAUCUGGAAGCUUCCGCCUUGCUCCCUUCAAACUAGCCAGGAGAACCUGGUCACCAAGUCUGGUCGGGCAGCAAGAACCUGGUCCUUCGAGUCUCUGCCGCAGGCACCCCAGCCUCCACCACGUCUGUCUUUACAUCACUGUCAGUGAAUCUGUCUUCUUGGAAGCCCCAGCAGACCUGCUGGGUGUUCUUUGGUCACAAUUGUCACUGCCCACCUGGGUCUGCGCUGACAGAGACAGGAUUCGACUAUCUUCCAGGAUGCAGCGUCUGCAGGGGAGGCUUGAGACCAUAUGCCUCUGGCCACAGCUGCAGCAGGGCUGUGGUCAUGGCAGCCCAUGGAUAUCCCUGGAAAUGAAGGGACCCCUUCAGUGUACCCUGAGACUCUACACAAUGAUCACUUCUGCCUCAGUCAUUGGCAGAAGUUGGCCUUAUGGUUGCUAGUGGACAGAAACUCAAAGACCUACAAAGGCAACUAAAGGCCACUCAAAUUACUGUGAUGGUCACAGGAGAUGGCCAAUCCCCAUGCACUUUUGGUUGCAUUAUUUAUUUAUUUUUGGUACCAGGGAUUGAAUUCAAAGGCAGUUGGUCACUGAGCCACAUCCCCAGCCCUAUUUUGUAUUUUAUUAGAGGCAGGGUCUCACUGAGUUGCUUAGUACCUCACUUGGUGGCAUCUUUUGCCAUUGACCUGUCUUCACAGCCAGGAAGCUCUCUCCCAGCCCACAUUGCUCUGCGUUCUGCAGUAUGGCCAGUGAGAAAGGCCCACAGUUGCCUCCCUGUGCAGCCAGGGGGCUGAAGGGUUAGCACUCAGUGUAUGGGUCAGGACCCUGGGAGUGGUGGCACUCAUGUUGGGUGAAUGUGCUGCAAAUUCAGUCAGCGGCCAGGUAACCAGAAGCAGGGGCCAGUCUCUAAGGCAAGAGUGACACAUGUGUGCCUUGCAUAUGUGGAGCUUCAGUGUGUUUUGGCUUCUGAGGGGUCAUGCUCCUCUGCCUGCCACGCAUCUCUCUCAGCCUCCCGAGUCUUUUGGAGGAGCGGGCUUGACAGCCCUACCCCUCAGGCAUCUGGAUGCACCUGGGUCCUUAAAUCUCCCUCAGAGGCAUCAGCAGGUCUGAGUUCAUCUUGGAUGUCUCCACCGUUGGCCACAGGGGAGGACACAGCUUUAGGACUGCAAAGCCACAGUCCCAGCCCUCACAUGAGCGUGUGCAUGCCAUCCUGGCCCUAUGCUCUGGCUGCUCCCAGGGUCCUCCCUGCCUCUGGUGCACAGGAGCCCUGUGGGCUGUCCUGGCUCCUGAGUUCCACCUGACCUGGGGCGGUACAGGUGCUUCAGGUGCCUGUCAGAAGAGGAGGGGUCUUCCUGGGAGGCUCCCACAGCCGUGCUCCUUGUCUCUGUCCCAACAGCAAGGGGACACAGCCCAUGUAGCCCCUACCCUAGGUACGAAAUGAGGCAGACUGUCCUCGAUGUGUAAUCUGCAGGAUGUAAAAUUAACAUUUUAAAGUAUGGACAUUGCUUGCUUUUUAAAAAUUAUCCUUUUAUUUGAAGAAUGUUAGGUUGAGUGGCAUUUGCCAAUGUAGUGCUAGGGGCAUUUUAAAAUUUUUAUCUCUUUUUAGUUGCAGAUGGACACAAUACCUUUAUUUUGUUUGUUUAUUUAUUUAUUUAUUUGUUUUUAAAUAUUUAUUUUUUAGUUAUAGGUGGACACAAUAUCUUUGUUUUUUAUUUUUUUAUUUUUAUGUGGUGUUGAGGAUUGAACCCAGUGCCUCACGCGUACUGGGCGAGUGCUCUACCUCUGAGCCACAACCCCAGCCCCUGUUUGUUUAUUUUUAUAUGGUGCUGAGGAUCAAACCCAAUGCCUCACACAUGCUUGGUUAGCACUCUACCACUGAUCCAUAACCCCAGCCCCGCCAGGGGCCUUUUGGCCCCCUGCACCAGCUCUGAUGGCUGUGACUUUGUGGGUGUGUGGCAGACUCCUAGCCCACACUGGUCUGUCGUCCUCAGCUGAAAUCUGCGCCUCUAUUCAGUAUUCCUUCCUAGUUCUCACCUAAAGUCCCUCCUGUCUUCAGAUCCCAUCUGGCAUGUGUUCACCGUGUCUCCUUGAUCUCCACUGGACUGAGAGGGUUCAUUAGGCCUUCCUGGGUUUUGUUUUUGUUUUAAUACUGUGGAUUGAACCCAGGAGCUCUCUACCACUGAGCUACACCCCCAGCCCUUUUUAUUUUUUUUCUUUUGACACAGAGUCCCACUAAGUUGCUGAGGCUAGCCUCCAACGUGAGAUCCUCUUGCUUCAGCUUCCCAAGUCGCUGGGAUUACGGGGUGGGCUACUGUGCCCGGGUAGACUUUCCCAGUGUUUCAUGACUUUGACAGUUUUGAGGAGGACUGUCCAGGUAUUUUGCAGAAUGUCCCUCCGUUUGAAUUUGUCUGAUGUUUUUCUUGGGGAGGAUGGCCCCACUGUGUCAAGAGCUCAGUUGUCAACAGGCUUGUCACCGUUGACACCAGUGUUGAUGUGCUGGUGAGGUUGUGCUGUCCGAGGUCCUCUGAAAGGCUCCUUCGCCUCUCUGUCAUGCUCCUCAGAGGAAGCCCACAACUCGGGUGGGGACUGUGUGUGGGCUCCCUGAGGGGAGGACGGGCCUCCCCUCCUCCUGCAAGUUACUGGGACUUCUCUGGGGAGUUGUCUGCCUCCAUCUGAACACUGACACUGAUCCAACUCUUGCAUCCCGUGAACUGUCCUGUGUCCUGGCUCUGAUCACUGGGGCUCCUGUGACCUGGGACGUACCCCUUCUUUGGGGUCAAGGCCCCUUUGUAUUCCCUGCCCCGGGCCUGGAAUUUGCCACUUCUCUGAGGAGCCCUGCCCUGGGUGAGAGAAACCUGGACUCUGGGCUGUGGUCCAGUCUCCUUGCUCAAGCCUCUGCUGCCUAAAGCCAUCUGUUCCCUUGACUGUGCCCCUCAGAGGCUUGCAGAGUUGAGUGUGCAUCCAAAAGCGCCUGGCAGAGCAGCCUGGUUUUCAUCUCAGUGAGGUGUGAGCAUUCCUAGGGGCUAACCUGCUCUUUGCUGAGAGUGGCAGUGGAUUCUCCUCAGGGGAUAUAGCUAGGCUUGGGUGUCGCCACCAACCUGAGUGCCAUCCUUGCUGGCUGGUGUUUUCACCCUGGAUGGGGUUCACCGGUGGGCUUCCAGGCACUUGUGCUCUGCCCCACCUGGCCUUGCAGCCACGCAGGCCUCCUGUGGCUCCUCCACCCCUGUCCACGCAGGCCCUCCUCUUGGCUGCUAGGGAAGGGUCAGGGCUGCCGAUGUGGGAAGGUGAGGUUUCUUCUUCUGUCCUAUGGUCAAUUUUGUGGACUGGUCCUGCCAGCUGGGACCUGCCACCAUCAUUGUCAGCUUUGUUUGCUCAUGAACCUCACAGGGAGCCCCACCUCAUGCCGUGCCCAGUUCCUCAGAUCGUGCAUUGUGGGCUGAUGUGCUGGGUAUGGGCGCCUGGAUGGCCCCUGCUUGUCCCAGGUGUUCUGCUGCUGUGAGCAUGAGUGCCAUGUCUGCGGGUUUCUGCCAGGGCUUCAGCUUAAGGAGCAGGGCCAUCUGUGCCUAUUCACCUUCACAUGGAGCACAGAGCCCCAGGUCUGUGCUGUGGGCAUUUGGGCCUCUUUGGUGGGGCCAUCCUUGUGUUUACAGUGCCCUUCUGUAUGAUUCUGCAUUUUCCUGAGUUCUCUCAUUCCCUGAUGGUGAUGAGUGCCUUCUACCAUAAUGUGCAUGCAGUAUUUGGUGCUACUUUGCUGUUUGGGGAAGUUGCUAAGUUGCUGGGGUUUUGUUAAGUUACCCAGGCUGGCCUUAAGCUUACAAUCCUGACCCAGCCUCCUGGGUCACUGGGAUUAGAAGCAUGUGCCAUUGCUCCAGUCCGCCUGGCUUUUGGUCAUCUUCACCUUCUGCAUGCUUGGCUAGGAUUUUUAUUGGAUUUCAAUCCUUAUAAAGGUGAGCAGAGGUGUCAGCCACUGUGGUCUUUCUAGGGGACCCUGUCAGGAAUGAUGUGUGCCAUCCUCGGGGUAGACUCUUUCCCUGGUUCUUUCCAUGGGUUUUAUCUGGGCCCCUUCCUGUGGCAGGCUCCGAGUCUUCCUCCAGCCUGCAGGUCAGUGCUGUGCUGGGCUUCUGGAGUGAGCUCAGUGUGAGGGAGUUUGUGUCACUGGGGCAUCCAUGGCAUCCGUGUCAAUGACAGUUUUGUGGCCACUACUCUCUGUUGAUGGAGCAAUGCUUGUGGCCUAGAAAACCCCUGCCCCUGUGCCCUAGGGUGAGGGUCCCCAUAGCCACAAGUCUGUAAGGAAAGCUCUGAGAUGACCCUGAGCUUGGUUAUUGAGGUGGGGCUGGGUUAUUGAGGUGGCGCUCUGAGUUUCUAGGGAGAGCUCCAUCUCCCAAGUUGUGGCUGAAAGACAUGCAUGGUGCCCUGCAGGGGGGCCAGGACCUUGGGGAGGCAGGGGUGGUUCGAGCAGUGGGCAGGGCCAGUGUGAGUUUUCAGCAGUGUGUGAGCCAUUAUGCAGGCUGGAGGGGUGGGAGGAAGGAAGACCCAUCGUGGUCACAUUUGGGUGCCAGGUUUGAUCUGGUCACAAUCUCAAGGGCAUGGCUGUGCUGUACGGUGCAGGCUUCAGGAAGAGGGGCACCCACCCACCCUUCUUCCGAACACACUGACUGUGGCCAUUUUUCUUUAUUUGUGUGAUACUUGGAUCUUUUUUCCUGGGUAAAGUGGGCUGUGUAGGGGCCCAAGAGAAUGCAGAUUUAAGACUUGAGGUGUGUCCUGGGAGAGGCACAGCCAGCAACGUCCUUGGGCUGGUGCCACUUGAAGCCCCAGCCUUCCCUCCACACAGUGCUAAGCUGCAGAGGGAAGAAGAGAAGGUGGGUCCCUUUUCCAGCUAUGGGAGGUCUCACAUUUGUGUUGCAAGAUGAGGGGAAGGUUUCCGGGGAGGAUCACUGGAACAGGUGGGCACAGGACCACACAGAGCAGCACAGCUGCAGUGUGACUUUAGAGGGAGUAGGAUCAUUCAGACUGGUUGUGUGGAGCCAGGUGCUGGGAUACCCAACCUCACCCUGGGUGCCAUGGCAUGCUGAGUGCUCCAUGGAGUUGUUCACUGGCUGUGGAUGCAGAGAAGGAAGGGAGCCAGGGAGCUGUGGUGCUGGCCAGAAGUGGUGAGAGUCUCUGCUGUGCUGUGAGUGGGGGUGGAGGUGUACAGAGAGGUGCAGAUUGAGGGACUAAACCACAGAACCAGGCAAGGCCCAGAGACAGACCGCCGGCACAGAGCAUCUGAGGCUGGAACAAGCACCAGCAGCUGGCCAGUGCCAAUGGAGUAUGCUGAUGCCUGUCAGUGCUCGCGCCCUAGACCUAGCCCACAAACGAGAGGGACCUGGGGAUGACCAGUGCUCCCUGCACCAGUCAGUAGGCUGAGGGAAGAUCCCACACAGGUACCCAAGGUUGUGAAUGGAAUUCAAGGACCAAUUCUAAGAUUCAUAAAGAGAGAAGUGUUAUGAAUAGCCAAGGGCUGGGUGUGAUGGUGACCCCUGUGAUCCCAGAGACUUGGGAGGAUAGGGCAGGAGGAUACAAAUUCAAGGCCAUCGAGGGCGAUUUAACGAGAUCCUUUCUUAACAUGAAAAGGGAUGGAGGAUUUAGCUCAGUGAUCAAGCACCCUGGGGUUCAAGCAGUACCACAGACAUAAUUUUUUUUAAAUAUUUUUUUNNNNNNNNNNNNNNNNNNNNNNNNNNNNNNNNNNNNNNNNNNNNNNNNNNNNNNNNNNNNNNNNNNNNNNNNNNNNNNNNNNNNNNNNNNNNNNNNNNNNNNNNNNNNNNNNNNNNNNNNNNNNNNNNNNNNNNNNNNNNNNNNNNNNNNNNNNNNNNNNNNNNNNNNNNNNNNNNNNNNNNNNNNNNNNNNNNNNNNNNNNNNNNNNNNNNNNNNNNNNNNNNNNNNNNNNNNNNNNNNNNNNNNNNNNNNNNNNNNNNNNNNNNNNNNNNNNNNNNNNNNNNNNNNNNNNNNNNNNNNNNNNNNNNNNNNNNNNNNNNNNNNNNNNNNNNNNNNNNNNNNNNNNNNNNNNNNNNNNNNNNNNNNNNNNNNNNNNNNNNNNNNNNNNNNNNNNNNNNNNNNNNNNNNNNNNNNNNNNNNNNNNNNNNNNNNNNNNNNNNNNNNNNNNNNNNNNNNNNNNNNNNNNNNNNNNNNNNNNNNNNNNNNNNNNNNNNNNNNNNNNNNNNNNNNNNNNNNNNNNNNNNNNNNNNNNNNNNNNNNNNNNNNNNNNNNNNNNNNNNNNNNNNNNNNNNNNNNNNNNNNNNNNNNNNNNNNNNNNNNNNNNNNNNNNNNNNNNNNNNNNNNNNNNNNNNNNNNNNNNNNNNNNNNAAGAGACAGCCUGGUGCCUUCCUCAGUAUCAAAACAAAACAGAUUCAGGGCUGCUGCCUGAGGCUUGGACAGGCAGCAGUGACAGCUAUGCACCUUUCUGCCCCCCAGUUAAGUUCUUUGCUUCUUCCCAUGUGGCAUCAGGGCUUAUAGGUGCAGGAUCCACCUGCAGCAGCAUUACUUCCCAGGAAGGCAGAUGCAAAUGCAGACAUUUGUCUGUUUUCUGAGCAGCCCUAUCCCUGGACUGGUUCCACAGUCAUUGGAGAAAGACCAUGGAUGUGAUGAAGGUCCCCUUACUCUGGGCCACCAUAGGGUCAGUGAGUGAGGGAUGAUGGAGGAACCAGCCAGGCAGAGGCAGUGUCCCCACAGAGAGGCAUUCCAAGGCUGUAGAGGGUUAUUCUUUCCAUGUAGAAACUUGGAAGCAGCUUAAAAAUGCCAGAUGUCACCCAAGCACACCCUGACUUCAAACACACCUGUUUUCAAAUGGUCUUGUCUGAUGCUUUAAUUUCCAUUAUUCACAGGUUAUCUUUUUAAUUAGAAAAAAACAUUAUAAGGCUGGAGGCUGAGCUCCCCAGUAGAAAGCCCCCACCCACCCCACCCCACUGUGUAGAAGUGGUGGUGUUCCUGCUCAGCGAAAGGUCACCUGGGACUGGUGGGCUUGGGAUGGCUUUGAGAGUGGGGUCCUCACUCUCACCCGUGUCCCCACAGGCUGGAGUGGGUGGAGAUCAUCGAGCCACGUACCCGGGAGCGCAUGUAUGCCAACCUGGUUACCGGCGAGUGCGUGUGGGACCCUCCGGCCGGAGUACGCAUCAAACGCACCAGCGAGGACCAGUGGUGGGAGCUCUUUGACCCCAACACAUCGCGCUUCUACUACUACAGUGCCGCCUCGCAGCGCACUGUGUGGCACCGCCCGCAGAACUGCGACAUCAUCCCGCUGGCCAAGCUGCAGACGCUGAAGCAGAACACAGAGUCCCCUCGUGCCUCGGCUGAUAGCAGUCCUGGCCGUGGCAGCCGCGAUGGCAGCACUGGCUCCUCACUGGAGCCCGAGCUUGAAGCCACGGAGAGGGCACAGGAACUGCCCACAAGGGCAGGGAGGCCCGCAGCACUGGGGACCCCAAAGGAGGAGAGUGGCAGGUGAGGAGGGUCGGGGCUGGCCGGCGCUGGGUGGUCCCCCUGGGAGGGGGUGGCGUGGGGCCUGAAUGUGGCUGCCUGGCCGCAGCUCCUGCCUCCUGGCUCUCCACUUGUGAACGGUAAUGAGGGCUUGGGGUUUCUGGCGGGUGAGGGGAUGGCUGUGACCCAGCUGAUGCACAUUCUGGCUCCUUCCUCCCCAUUUUGCUCAGGACCUGCUCUUUGUUGACACUGUCCUUAGUCACCUGGAUUCCUAGAUCCAGGAGCUCAUUAGAGAAACAGAACCUGCUAGGCCCAGAAAUCCUGGUGAGCUGUCAGGAGGGCCCUCCAGUGGGUAUUUUCCUGGCUAAUAGAGUCAUGACUUUGGUACUUGACUUCUGUUUGUUGGAGGGUUGCCCUUCCUUGGCAUAGCCUGGGGACUGAUUCUCCUGAAUCCCCCAGGAGGGGGCUGCUGCUGUUAUUCUCAUUGUACAAGUGAAGAAACAGGUAGCUCAGGUGCAGGACCUUACUUGCAUUGUCAGGCAGAUUGAUCUGCAGUGGGAGCCUGUGGUCAGGGUCCCCCAGCUACAGAGGCCACCAGGUGUGUGUCUGCUUGGUCACAGACAUUUUUGUUUUAUGCCUCAUCGGGAGCAGUUUCUUGUGUUGUGCAUCCAGCCGCUGGCCUUUUCUUCUUCGGGGCUGACCCUCCGUCAGUCCCUUUCAGGUGUGAUGUUCAUGUAUAGAGUUUGGAUUUUGUUUUGCAUGUUCCAUGCCUCUGCACGAUGUGCUGGGUCUGCUUCUCACUCUGAACACAGGGAGCACAUGGAACCAGCUCUUGCUGCCCUUCACCGCGGACUCCCCUGUCCUUGUCAUUCUGGCUCAGCUUAUCCCUGGUUGGUUGUUGUGAGCAGGAACAGGGUCCCUGAGGGUAAACACAGCAGAUGAGAGGGUGAGCAGCCCCAGCAGGGCAUAUGGCAUCCUAAGGGAACAGCAGGGUGAUGAGACUGCUGUUCUUCAUAGACAGAGGUGCUGCCAGACUUGGACCUGGAUUGCACAUACACGAUUUUAAUUGAGCAUAUUUGUCACUUGGCAUUUACCAGAUCCUGUUAGAUUGUUCUCCUGGUGUGUGUCUUUUAUCAGGCAGUGCCUUGCAGGUUGGUCACACCUGACUGAAGGUUAGGCAGAAGCUCCUCAACUGCAGUCAAGUAGGUCUUGAAACAGAAGUUUCCGUUAUGCUUGCACAUGCAUCAGAGUCAGAAAGAUUCUGCUGGGACUAUAGCUUCAGCUUGGAAAACACCUGCUACACAUGCGUGUGGGAAUGGGUCAUGCCUCUGGUAAUGUUCACAGGGUGGUAUGUGGAUAAAGCAGCUCAACGUUGCUUGUGACUGAGACAUUAGUUGUCUUUGCAGUGACUGCUGUAGUGUGUUUCACAGGCUGUCACCAUUUGCCUUGUGAUUUUAGGCUGAAUUCAUUAAGAAACGUUACCAAGAGUCUGCAACAAAAACUAAUCUCCAAAGCCACUCACAGUGUUUAAUAGUGAUCAAAAGAAGUUUUUCACAUUCAGAAAAUUUGACUCAACCCUGAGUUUUUAAAAAAAAAAAUCAUAAUAAAAUAUGUGGCUCCCUGGCUGCUGGGUUGCUGUGUGACAGGAUGUUCAGCUGCUGUCUUUGACCAAAAUAUCCAUGGUACUUAUGAUGGCCAAGUCCAGGGGAUUGGCUUAUGAUGGAUUCAAGUGUUUUCUGCAAAGUACCUACGAAUGGACAGCAAGUAACCCUAGGCUUAUGUUAUCACAAGCUUUGUAAGUGGCCAGCCAAGCCUUUGCCUGGGCCACAUAUGCUCCCAGCACAAUAAUUUGUGACUCCACUUAAUCUCCAGGUGUGCCAAAUUAAUGUUUUCUCAGGUAAUUUUAAGACAGGACCUCCUGAAGUUUCCCAGGCUGGCCUCAAACUUGUGAUCAAUCCUCCUGCCUCAACCUCCCAUUGUCACUGGGACACCACCACACCUGACAUCCCCAGCCCUUUUUAUCUUUUUAUAUUUAUUUAUUUAUUUAUUUUCGUGCCAGGGAUCGAACUCUAGGGCACUCGACCACUGAACCACAUCCUCAGCCCUAUUUUAUAUUUUAUUCAGAGACAGGGUCUCACUGAGUUGCUUAGCGCCUCACUUUUGCUGAGGCUGGCUUUGAAUUUGUGAUCCUCCUGCCUCAGCCUCCCAAGCUGCUGGGAUUACAGGCGUGCGCCACCACAUCUGGCCCUUUUUAUUUUUUAUUGAAGACAGUGUUUUGCUAACUUGCCCAGGCUGGCCUUGAACUUGCGAUCCUGCUGCCUGUGCUGCCUGAUUGGUUGGUAUCAUAGGUGGCAUCAAGGGUUCUUUGAUUAUUUAAUUAUUAAUAUAUAUUAGUUUGAUCAUAUGCCUUAUGAAUAUCUGUCAAGAUAAAUGCUCACUCUGUCACCUGCUUCUUAGAUCUCUAUUGAGUGUGCCAAGCUUGGCACUCAGGCACACACAGCCCCAUGAGGGUCUUUCUAGCUACGCUUCUUCCUUAGGCCAUCCCAUCAGUACUGGUUGAAGCUGUGACUCUCACUGACCCAUCUCUGGAUCCUGAGAGCAGCAGCUCCCAUCCCAGUGGUUCAGGUUCCUGAAACACUAGACAAGGCUGGUUUCCUGUCCUGGCAUGUGGCCUUUGGAUGGGUCACCAUGGGCUGACCCUGUGGGAGGAGGCAGGUGCAGGGCAGAAGAAAUACCCAACAGCAUUAUGAGCAGAAGCCAGGCCAUGUCCUCCCUAGUCAGCUGAAGGGCACUUAGGUUCACAUCUUUUCCAUUCUCCUGUGUUUCAGUUCGUCACCACCAGGCGUAAUCCUCGAGAAGGACUAUGAGGUUUACCGGGAUUAUAGCACGGAUGGCCAGCUGCUUCACUACAGGUAGACCCCUCUACCUCCCCAUAUCCAUCCACUAUCCCGAGAUGGACUCUUGGGUGGGCUGGCCUGGGGCACCUGGAGCAGAGUCUGACUCAGCAGAAAGCCGGGGCAGUGCCCGCCCUAUGGUGGCUUUGGAGGCUGCCAAAAUGGCUUGGUAGCCCCGUCUGGGAAGACUCUUGUCGCUGCCCAGAACAGAUAGCUGUGGGUCCUGGGUGCGGCCUUUGUCCCCCAUUGGAAAAGUAAAGUAUGAAGGUCCCUGGCAUGUGGUUGACGCCUGGGUCACACUGGCUACUCGUGUCAGAGUGCUUUUCAAUCCUAGUCCGGAAGAUCCUGUUAGUCCUGCAGGGGAGUGGGCCUCGGCUCACUGUGCGGAGCUGGAGGACCCUGAGGGCCAGCCCUCUGCCCACUGGUCUUCCAUUGCCUCGUGACUGGUUGGCUGUAGGGUCUCAGGGCCAGGGUCAGUGAUGUCCCUGGAGUGACCUGGCAAUGGUGCUGCAGAGGGUCGAAGGCCUGAGAGCCUAGGCUCCUCCUCAGACAGUGGUCUCUCUCUCAGAUUCGUGUUUGUGGAACAUCAAGAAGGGCCUCGAGCUGCCCUGCCCAUACUGUGACCCAUGACUAUGGCAUGCUCUGUGCUCCUCAGGCUUCAUUCCCCGUCAUAAGAUGAGUCUAGCACUGUGACCCAGCACAUUCCUGGUGGCUGCUCAUCCUCACUGUGGUGAGAUUGAUUUUGGCUCUGGCACAGGCCUAAGCUUCCCCACGACCCCUGCAGCACUUUCCUGGACUGUAUGUAUGCUCUAUAUGGCCAUGUGCCCACCUGGCCUUUGGCUGAGCAUUGUCACAACCCUGCUAUCCCUGGGGAGCCAUUGUCCUUUAAAAGAGCCUGGCAGCAUCCCCAUUGUCACAGUAGGCACCUGCAGAGCCUUCAGUGAGGUGGGUCCCAAAUAGGACAAAGAAGACCCUCUGGGCCUUUCAGGUAUCACAGAGAUGGGUAGCUGUUCCAAUGUUCUCCCACUUGCCAAACCUCUCUGGCAGCUGAGCCGCCCUCAGCCCUAUGGGACCUCCUCUAGCCACAUGAGCUGAUGAGUCUGGUCUUUGCUCUGGGGCUCCUUGCCCCUAGCCCCUCAGCCCUCUGGUGGCCACUGUUCCUGUGCCUGUUGCUCGUCUUGGCAGCCCCCAGCCUCUCACCCUGCUAAUGAUGUUGCCUAUCAGAGACCCCACUCAGACCCCUGGUGUGGUCCACCUGCUGGCUGGACCAUCCAGCACAGGACAAGCAGUUGCAUUUGUAAGUAAAUAAAUAGUGAUUGGAGAAGUAGACCAUCCCCAGUGUUGACCUCUGGGUGAGGUACAUCUGAGACCCACUGGGCUUAGCUGCACAGAGGCAACCAGCAUGUCUGCCUAGGUGGGGCCUGCUCCUGAAACUCUUGAGAGUGCUCUGGCCCUCGGCCAGUGUGGUGCUGCAGCCUGGUGUCAUCUGUGACCUGCUGGGGGCAGUUCAAUGCCAGGCAGCUGAGCCAUCUCCUCCUGCCCCUUCUACCAUUACUGAGACCUUGGGACAGAGACCUGGCGAUAUCUGGAAGACGAAGCAGGUCCACGGGAGGGCUGCCAACAUGUGUGCCAGCAGAUGUUGUAUUCUAUCAGGGAGGUGGAGGGAGGAGGUCAGACCCCCUGCUGAGACGUUCAGGAUCCUUUCUGCUGAGAAUCUGUAUUCUGUGUAUCACCUGAGCAUCACCUGAGCAGACCUGGACUGGCACUCACAGAUCAUAGCCUGCUCAAAAGGGAGAUACACAUGCCCAUGCUGACCCCCCAGUUCACUUGUGCCACAUAGCAUGGGCAGAGCAAGGCUCCUUGGAGGUGACAGCAUCUCCCAGGUGGAGUGUGCCAUGAGGAGACCCAUCCACUCACCCACCUGCCCAGCACCCCGCACGAGGAGGCCUCAAUGCAGACACACUGGAGGCCGGGUGAGCUGCCUGGCUAUGCAGUCAGUCCUGUGUGCCCAUCUGGCCUUGAAGUCCCAGAGCUGGCACUUCUCUCCCAAGCUGUCCCCGGUGGUGCAGAUGGUGUGAUGGGAAGUGGGAUGGAAGGAAUCACAGUCAUAUGAACACAUUAUUGAGAGGAAGCCAGGGUGAUCCACGCUGAGAGAGGUGAAGCUAUGCCGCUGCUGAGCCUGGCGGGAGCAUUCUGGUAUUCCUGCGGCCUGGGACUGCCUGGGACAGCAGGCCUGACCCCAGCACUGAGGCUCAAGGAGUGCCACAUCCUGGCCGCAAGAGUCUUUGUUGGGCCAGGUGUUAGUCUUUGGGAUCCCCGUGCUGGGGCCAGCUGUGGGUUUCUUGGGGAGAACGAAAGUUCCAGAGACAGAGCCCUAUCAGAGCCAACUCAGGCCUGGGGUGGGGACAGUUUGGGGAGAAAGGAAUAGUAGACCUGAGAAAGAUCUAGAAGGUAAAGGAAUGUGGGGGAUCAUGUGAGGGAAUGAAGAUGUGUCCCAUGAGAGCCCCCAAUGGGAUGUGGGGGUGGGCACACUUGGAGCUCAGCCUCCAGAGAGACCUUAGAGCAGCCUGCAGUUGCCUUUGAAGUGAUGCACUUACCAGAGAGAGUAGGAAGAUCAGAAAUAGCACCAGCAACUGAGGAGGCUGAGGCAGGAGGAUCCCAAGUUCAAGGCCAGUCUCAGCAAUUUAGCGAGACCCUGUCUCAAAAGAAAAAAAAGGGCUGGGCUGUGGCUCAGUGGUAUGCCCUUGCCUUGCAUGUGGAAGGCCCUGGGUUCAGUCCCCAGUACAGGUGCCUCAUAUCAGAGGGACAGUACAGGGUCAGCUGGCAGGACUGAGGAGGAGGCACCCCUGAAGCACUAGCGACUCUGUGCGGAGGGGAGGCAAGAAGGGAACUGUCCAGGAGCAGGCUGUGCCACCUCAGAGGUUGUUCAGAGAUCAGGGCCCUCAGCAGGUCAAGGGCCGGGCAGCCCCCAGGUUGUGAGUGAAACCCCUGGCCACCAGCCCAGGCAAGAGGAGCCAACAGAGGUGGGAGCUGCGGAACGGAUGGCCAGAUGGUCACUUUCAGGGAUUGUUUCUCCGUAUGUCGUGCAAGCACAACUCUGUUUGGACUCAGGCUGCAGUUGCUGGCCUGCCCUUGUCCUGCCAGGCCUCUUGCCUCAGCAUGGUAGAGGGAGACAUUCCAGCUUUGGUUCUAGUUCUGGGGUUUGGCUUUGUGCAGGACCUCUCCAUUCUUCCUUUGAAAUAGCCUUUGGGGAAAUUGCCCUGCAGGGCCCGGAACAGAAUGAGUCCUUUGACCCUGGCUAGCCUCCCUUUUGGCAUUUCCAGAGGCGGUGGCUGUGCCAGGGUUUCCUGCUCCCUCACUGUCGAAACCAACCCGUGAGGCAGAGAUAGGGGUCUUUCUGCCCCUGUCUGCUCUCUGGUGCCUUCACCUGUCAGAGCUGUCAUUGGAACCAGGGAGCUGAGGAGAAGGAUGUGCCAGAUAUGGGGACAGUCUGGGUUUAGGAGGAGGGAAUGUGGGGGGAAGGCAGACGCACCCGAGAGGAAGCCUGACAGGACUGCAGGCAACAGAGCCAUCAGAGCCAGUGGCUCCUGGGACAGAGGCAGCAUCACAGUUGUCAGGGCCUGCAAACUACCAUGUGAGGCUAGGACUGUGGAGAGCAAAGUGGUGGAGUGGGCUGCAGAGGGGCCCAGCCCUUGUGGUGAGCUUGGAGCUGCCUAUACAGCAGAUGGGGAACCAGGAAGUGGGCAGGGUGAGAGAGCUCUCAGAUCAGAAGGUAUGCUGGACACCCAUGGGGUGGCCUUCACUUGGCUGCUGCUUCAUCUUAGGUGCACUUCCAAGAAAGGCUUCACUCUCUGAGCCAUGGUACCUGUGACCAGGCUCCCCCGAAGGCUUUGGCCUCCUCUGAGAACCAAACGAGACUUUGUGCAGGUGCCCAGGACACACGCAGCCUUGGGGGACCACCUGCGGCCACCUCCCUAGUUCUCUCCCACCUCUGCCCUGCCUGGACAGAACCAACUGCAGUGGCUGAAAUAGAGGGCAUUCCUGACCAGCAGGCUUUUCUGCCUCUCCUGACACUUGCUUCUGCCUCAGCAAACAGGAGCAGAAACUCCAGGAAUGGGGGCCUCCUCACCCAGGCCAUGAGGAGCAUGGCCUGCAGCAUGGCUAUUCUGAGUGGUCUCACACCUGUCACUCUGGAGUAGUCCCAGCCCCACAUCACCUGUCCCAGGGAAUGAGGCAUCAAGGCCUUGUCCAGAUUUGCCUCAUAUCAGAGGGACAGAACCUAGAGAUCAGACUCACAGCUGGGUCACAGAGAUGCUCUGGGCUUUUCUUUGCCGACCUCAGACCCACGUUCGCCCACUGACAGCUGGAGAAGCUAACAGAAUACACAGAACCACUCUGAAGUCCUCAGAGAUGUACUAAGUGGUGAGGUCUGGAGACUGCUCCUUCUCAAGCAGUCCCCAGGGCUGAGAAGCUAAGCAGACCCUUGGAGCUUCCUCUAGUUAACAUCCAACGAGUCCCUGCUUUUUCCUUGACUCCUCAAGGGCCUCAGAAAGAGGAGGAGGGUGAGCCAUGAGCAGGCUGCCCUCAGCAUGAGCCCAGCCCCAGUCAGCUGGGCCCCACCCUCCUCAAGGAGAUGCCCUCCUAACACCUGCCAGAAACUAAAGUAAGCCCAGAGCUCAGAUUGCCAUGAUGGCUUUUCAUGAACAACAACCAGAAUUUCAGUCUAAAAUACCAGAGUUGAUCAGAAACAGAAACAGAUCUACCUUUUGGGAUUACCCGAAAGUUACUUUAAUAAAUAUCCAAUGUGAAAGAUACUAAAUGGAAAUUUUUUUAUCUUUAUUUAUCUAUUCAUUUUUUUUAUAUGGUGCUGAGGAUCGAACCCAGCACCUCGAAUAUGCUAGGCAAGCGCUCUACCACUGAGCCCCAGCCCCCUAAAUGGAAAUUUAAAAGAUUCAAAUGUGUUUUCUAGAGCUGAAAAACAAAAACCAGGAACACAAUAGAUGGUGCUAAGGUGUAAAUGUGUGUCCCCUUGUUGAGAUGGGCAAAGUUGCCACUUAUGCAGUCGAGAGGGAGAAAUAAAGAAUGUCCAUGUGCUUCUGCCCUUUUCAAUGUUUUGUUCACUCAAAUCACUCAAUACAAUUUCACUCUAUAGGUUUUUAAUCAAGAAAAUGAUGGUCCUUGAUGCUGGGCACUGCAAUAUUCAUAAUCACUUAACAACAAAUAAUUCUAAGUUAACUCUAAGCACUGCAAACACACCUAAUCAUGACCUAGUUAUUACAGACAUUCCCUCUGCAUGCUAAACUCAAGUGCCAGGUCUAGAGUCUCACGUCUUAGGCUUUUAAGUCCAGCAGAUGCAGUCACUCAGACCGCAGUGAUCAGAUCAGGAACCGAUGGAGGCUCCUGGUGUGGAGUUGGUGGCCAGUUGAGGGGAGCGUAAUAGGGAGAUGUCACCAUUCUCACCAGAGCAAAAAGCUAUAGAGUUUGAGAGAGGUGAGGAAGAUGCAGGGGAUCAGGCAAACGAUGAGAAGAGUGGGGAUGUUAGCCCAGGUCCUCAUCAGGCUUUCCGGCAUGUGGGCAUCAGUGUCAGCUGGCUGAAUGUUCAUUUGCUCCAUCAUUUAUACUAAAUUUUGGGGCUCCUUUCGGUCCCUGUCAGCUGUUACCAAGUUUCUUAGUGACAUCUUACAUUUUAGAGUCAGGACAUAUGGUUUGGUGAUUUUCCACCCUGAUCUUCUUAUACCUCUGACUCUUAUCAAGGUGAAGGCAAAUGAUAUGUGACUUCACCCUGACUCUUACCAGGGUUGUGGAAAGUGACUUGUCUUUAUCAGGCUAUGCCUAAUUGACAUAUCGGAGGGAUCUGUAGGCUGUGCCUGGUGGGAUUGCAGGUCUGUUUUAAAAUAUAGUUGCUUAGGCUAAGGCCAUACUUACAGUCAGGCUAAGGCCACCCUUACACCCCCCCCCCGCCCAAAUUCCUUUGUUGAAUAGCUUGAGGAGAUGGGGUCUAUGGGCAUAAAUGAAGGAAUUCAUACUUGUGACAGAGGAGGGCACUGUCCUUAGGAGGCCCCAGUGGGUCACUGUGGCACCUGCCUAUAAUCCCAGUACUCAGGAGGCCGAGGCAGGAGAAUCAAAAGUCCAAAGCCUGCCUAGGCAAUUUAUUGAGACUAUCCCAAAAUAAAAAAUGAAAAGGGUCUCGCACACAUCCCGCAUGAGUGAGGGAAAGGGUUCCCCUCCAGAGGGAUGGGCUGACUGAGAAAUAAAAGCUAAGAAAACAGUAGUAUGAAAUAAACACAGGACACAGAAAUAUAGUUUCAGAGCGGGGGCAGCAACAGGCCAAGCUGAACAUAGGGUUACGGCUUCUAGCAGAGAUGGAGCCUGCAUUUGCUUUAUUUAUAGCAGUACAGAUCAAAGGGGAUUGGGAGGAGUCUUGUCUGGUGCUUGCUUCUUCACGAAAAACAAGACGUGGUGCGGGUAGGCAGGCUGUUUGGCUCUUAACCACAGUCGUGACCUUCUCCUGGGUUGUGUGCAACCUUUUGGCAGAGCUGGGUGGGAGUUCACAUGUAUCAGACCAUCUCACCCGCAGGAGCGCCAGUGCAAGUUCCCAGACACCCGACCUUCCCACUCAGUAGCUUCAGUGCUGAUGUAGUCCACGCACAUUUCACGGAUGGCUUCCUGCAAAAAGGACUGUACCUCAGUGGAGGAGUACCCCUGGAUUUAAUCCCCGAUACCAUCACCACAACAACAAAAAGUAAAAGGUCAAAGAGAGCUCGAACCUCCCCUGGGUGAGAACACACAGCCAGGCAUCACCUGUGAAACAGGGAGGAGUCCUUAUCAGAUACUGGAUCUGUCUGUGCCAUGACUGGGUACUUCCAGCUCCAGAACUAAGUAAAUAUCUUGUUUUUAAACCACUCAGUCCAUGGAAUUUUGUUAUAGCAGUAUGAAUGGAUCAAAACAAUGGAUUUUAAAUUAGAUUAAACAUAGCUGAGAGGAGAAUUAGUAAAUUGGAAGACAGAUCAGAAGAAAAUAUCAAUUCUGAAGUAUAGAGAAGCCCGGGAUGGGAAAUACAGAACCCAGCAUGAAAACCACAGGAUGCAGGGUGAAAAGGAUUGUAAUUGAAUUCCCAAACUAGAAGAAAUAUAAUAAACAUAAUAUUUGAAAAGAUAAUGGUCAGGAUUUUACCAAAACUCAUAGAAGAUGUUGAGCCACAGAUUUAAGAAGUGCUACCCCUAAGUAUCCUGGGGUAGAGAGUGUGAAGGAGGGACGUGUUCUGCCCCCCAUCAUCUCUCCCCAGCAGUGUCCUGGGUCUGGCCCCUAGCUACAGCUGGUACCACCAUGGAUUCAGGACCUGUGCCAACCUUGGGCUCACAGCAGGCAGAGCAUGCAAAGACAUCAAGUCCACCAGCAGUACAGCACUGGGGCAGAGAGCAAAUGAAGCUAAGAGACCAAAUGUCCAGCAUGAACCCGCUGGGGGAGGGGCCAGGAUGUAAGCAGUAUAACUCCCAGGAGGCUGUGGGUACCCUUGGCCUAAUGCAGGCAUUAGUGGGUAGGUGGGGUAAAGGGAGGAUUCAUAGGAGCCUCUGGUGAGAAAUGGGGUCUUGAGUUGCUGGCAUAGUGUGCUGGUCUCACCUGGGACACUGGUGAACACCCCUAUACCCCCACACACACACACACACACCAACUGUGUGCUCAGUUGAGUGGUCCCUGGGAAGGCCCCUUUCUUUCUCAUGAUAGCUGCAAAUCUGUGCCUGGUGUUGGGCGGGUGUAGAGCAAUAUGGGCAGGAGAGCUCCUGGGAAAGAGUGCCACAGGGUUCAUAGGGAGCACCGCCUUGAUCAGGGAGGAUGCUGUGGGACCACCAUGCCAAGUAGUGAGAUGGGGCUAGCCUUCUCCACUGCUUCCCUGCAGGACCUCCUCACUUCGGUGGAACUCAGGCACCAAGGAGCGCAUGCUCAUCAAGGUCGCUGACAGGGAGCCCAGCUUCCUCACUCCUCAGGGCAAUGGCUACUCUUCAGAUGGCCAGCCUGGGAGCCGCCCCCGCAGACCCUCUGGCAGCCAGCAUUCGCCCAACCUACAGACAUUCACCCAGGACUCGGAAGGCGCUGUCUUCUUCCCUGAGAGGCGACCUUCGCCCUUCCUGAGAAGGGCUGAACUCUCCGGGAGCUGCUCCCCACUGCUCACGCAGCCUCGAAAGUCCUCCAGUGACUCACAGCCCUCUUCCCCACGCUAUGGCUAUGAGCCCCCUCUCUAUGAGGAGCCCCCUAUGGAGUAUCAGGCCCCCAUCUAUGAUGAGCCCCCCAUGGACGUACAGUUCGAGGCUGGUGGCCCCUACCAGGCUGGCUCCCCACAGAGGUCGCCCAGCCGCAAGCCCCGCCCCUUCUUGCCCGGGGCCAAGCAGGCCCCUGCCUCCCCCUGCCAGCAGCUGGUGCGCACUAAACAGAAGUGCCCUGAGCGCUUCCUGAGCCUGGAGUACAGUCCUGCAGGCAAAGAGUAUGUAAGGCAGCUGGUGUACGUGGAGCAGGCCGGCUCUAGCCCCAAGCUGCAUGCAGGCCCCCGGCACAAAUAUGCUCCCAACCCUGGUGGUGGCUCCUACUCACUGCAGCCCAGCCCUUGCCUGCUGAGGGACCAACGCCUAGGGAUCAGGUCUGGAGACUACAGCACCAUGGAGGGACCCGAGCCCCGGCUGAGCCAACCACCCACACCACUGCCCCCAGCCCAGGAGGACACCAUGUCUUGGUCCAGCCAGCAGGACACCAUGUCUUCCACGGGCUACUCCCCAGGCACACGUAAGAGGAAGAGCAGAAAGCCCUCUCUGUGCCAAACUCCUGGCGCCCCCUCCACGGAUGGCCCAGGGGACCUACUGGGUGAGCAGCCUCUGGCUGAGGAGCGCUCUCCAUGUGGGCCCAGCCUUGCCCAGAUGAAGCGUGCAGAGGCUGAAGUGGACGUAGCACGGGGUAUGGCCGAGCCUUUCCUGGCACAGGCGCAGCUGGCCUGGGAGGCACAGCAGGCCCACUUUCACAUGAAGCAGAGGGGCAGCUGGGACUCCCAGCAGGAUGGCUCUGGCUACGAGAGUGAUGGUGCUGUGCCACUACCCAUGCCCGGACCUGUGGUACGUGCCUUCAGUGAGGAUGAGGCACUGGCGCAGCAGGAUAGCAAGCAUUGGAAGCGGAAUACUUUCGAGAAGCUCGGCUUCCCCCAGAUCCUGCUGGAGAAGAGCGUCUCUGUGCAGACCAACUUGGCCUCACCAGAACCUUACCUCCACCCCUCACAGGUGAGGAGUACUUGGUGGGCAGAUGGGGACCCUGGGCCCAUAAGACCCCCAAGUCCCAGCCUAGAGCCUGGGAUCAGCUGCAGGCAGAAUGGGGCUGGGUGCACCUGGCAUCCACAAGGUGUGUGUGGCACUGAGCGUGUUCAGAGCCUGGCCUCUGAACGUCCAGCACACCACUGGCAGGGAGGGCAUCUUCACGGAACACCCCACUCAGGCCACCCACCACCAGGCAUAGGGCUUCCUGGACCUUGGCCACCAGGGAGUUUCAAGCCUUGCCUACGGGACACAGCAGCUGAGGGCAACUGGCAGCCAGCUCUGGGACUAUUGUACUCCUGGGGAGCUGGGCAGGUGGGGCAUCAGCAUUCUUUGGUGGCUCUGGAACUAUCUCCAAGCACGUCUCCCUCAGGCAGGAAGAGCUGCUAGUGAGGUAGUGACUGGGUGGUUGCCAGACAUCACAGCCAGAGCUGGAGCCCAAGCCCAAGCCCAAGCCCAGCCUGCUGUGUCCUCCCCAUACAGUGCCAGAGCACACAUCAGUCAGUGCCCCACAGAGCCCACGAGUACCUCUGUUCAGCAGCAGGUACCUGAGUGUCCACCUGCAGGUCUUCCCUUCUGGAGAUCACCAGGCAAUUCAGAUUUGAUGGCUCUAAUGUCCUCAUUCCCACUUCUAGCUUCCACCUUUCACACUGGUUGACUAGAGACACAGGCCAAGCCUGAGGGUGACCUGGAAUCUGGUUGGUUUGCUUAGUGGGCCCAGGUUCCAAGGAAGUUAAAGUGAAAAUCUUAAGGCCUCCUGGACAUGUAUGGCAGGCCCACCUUUGCCCUGCUGGGGAAGGCCUCUGUGACCUGUGGGUAGCCAGCUUCCCAGGCCCUUCAGGCUAGUGAGCUCAGAGCCACAUCCAGCCAGACUUUCCAUCCACUGCUCAUAAACUGGUAGGAUGACAGGGCAGAUGGGAGAGGCAACCUUGGGAAACAGUGAGCAGACAGAAAGCUACCUCUAAUGGAAUGGGCAGGUCAAGAGCAGAGCAGAGGGAGAGACCUGCAGAGGCCAGGCCCACUGGGGUCCUGCAGAGAUGGGAGCAGGGCUCGAGAGCCACCCCUGCCUGUCCCUGCCCUCUCUCCCUGGGUACCUGACAGUGCAGCUGUCCUGCUGCCACCCCACCUGGGGUUUUGAAGCUCAGCUUCUUGCUAUGUUAGACUGGCCACGCCACACCUGGCUGGCUCACACCUCUUGGGACUGUGAUCCAAGUGGGCCCAGCUGCCCACUCCAUCCCUACCCCCGAUGGCACAGCCCAUUUGUCCUUCCCAGUCUGAGGACUUAGGAGCCUGUGCCCAGUUUGAGAGCAGCCGGCAGAACCGUAGCGCGAUGCCCAGCUCCAGCUGUGUCUUCCCCACCUUCACGCUGCGCAAGCCCUCCUCAGAGACGGACAUCGAGAACUGGGCCUCCAAGCACUUCAACAAGCACACCCAGGGCCUCUUUCGACGGAAGGUGUCCAUCGCCAACAUGCUGGCCUGGAGCAGUGAGUCCAUCAAGAAGCCCAUGAUUGUGACCAACGACCGGCAUGUGAAGAAAGAGGCCUGUGAGAUCUUCAAGCUGAUCCAGAUGUACAUGGGCGACCGGCGGGCCAAGGCAGACCCACUGCAUGUGGCCCUCGAGAUUGCCACUAAAGGCUGGAGCGUGCAGGGCCUCCGGGAUGAGCUCUACAUCCAGCUGUGCAGGCAGACCACCGAGAACUUCCGCCUCGAGAGCCUGGCCCGUGGCUGGGAGCUCAUGGCCAUCUGCCUGGCCUUCUUCCCGCCCACACCCAAGUUCCACUCCUACCUAGAGGGAUACAUCUACCGGCACAUGGACCCUGUCAAUGACACCAAAGGUAAGACCCAGUGUGCAGGACCCUUGGCACCCCUAGGGUCUGCUGCAACUGAGGUAAGGGCUGUGGAGAGGGCUCCCAGCCAUUCUGGGCAACACCCGCCCAGUCCCCUAUCCUCACACCCCACCAGACCUGGCACCACAUAGGAGUGGUACUUCUAAGAAGAUGCAUGUCCCCUAGGAGACCCCACACCCAGCUUUCAGUGGUUUGUGGGCAUCCUCAGGGAACCCUACCUUGGCUCUGAGAAGAGCCCUAGGCAGCCCUGGCAGAUGAGGGCAUAUGGCCUGCCCUUUGAUGCCUGCCCAGUUUGGCUUCUGUCACCCUGCAGUAUAAGGGCAGCUGCACCGUGAGGCUUAAGCUGUGUAUUCUAGGCAGGGAGGGGCAUGGUGGCCACAGUGCAUCUGCCACAACUCAAUCACAGGCUUCCCACACACAAGUCUGUGGAGAUCAGCUGGUCUCCAGGGCACUAUGAGCUGAGCUGCCCUGAGGGCCAGAGGUUCAGGCCAGCACAGGUGUCCACUUGCUGAUGGCUGCCAGGUGUCAAAUAGAAGGCCCCCAGAUGGGAUGCACUAGGUCUGUCGGGCCCAGGCCGUGGUGUUUCAGCUGGGCAGUCCCCAUGUGAUAAACUAGUGGCUGGCCCAAGCCCUGGGAUGGACAGAGUGGGCAUGGGGCAAGGAUACAGGCAGUCCCAGCUGUAGCAGGCUGUGUCCCACAUGAUGCUCGUGAGCAUCUGUAGGACACAGCCGUAGCAUUGACGGCCAGACACGCAUACUUGUGUUCAGGUACACGUACAUGUACAGAUGCAUCCCUGCCAGGGCGGACAUGUUAGCUCUUCUGGGUUGUCCAGCCUCUGCUGAGGUGGAAACUGUGCUCCCUUCUAGGCCUUGCCCCCAGCUCAGGCAUGGGAAAGGCAGCUCUCAGGCUGCCAUGGGGCCCUCAGUGUGCAUGCAAACUUGAGGGAGGGGGUUCUGGAGAAGGUAUGUCAGGCACAGGAACCACCAGCUCCUCAGACACUUGUAAACAGUUUUGGAAAACAUGCUAUUCCUGCCCAUGUGUGCACCUGCAACACACAUUGCAGCAGAUACAGACUGACCUGGGGCCUGGACUGCACUGGGGCCUCAGGGACCCCAUUCCUUGAUCUUCUUGGACCUCUCUAGGCACUGGUAUAGUCCUGGGGCUUCCUAGGUCACCAUCUUGCCUUCUUGAGAAAGGGCCUUGACAUGCACCUUGACAUGGGAGCUGUAGGAAUGUGUCUGCACUGCUCAGGACAGCACUGGGCCCACAGAUCCGAGAGCCUGCUGAGUGAAAACCAAGUGAGUGGGCAGUAGUUGGCAAACAGUCAGAGGCCUGGGUUCCUUGCUCUGCCUGGGCCAGCUGACCAGCAAGUAUGUGGCUGGGCCGUCCCGCCAUCCAGGGCUUCCCAGAAGAGUUUGUGCUUUAGGCCCCAUGGAGGAGCCCCCAGGAUCUCCCACAUACAAAGGUACGCAUACUUUUCUCUUAGAGUCGCACACCCACAGGGCCCUGUGUUGCACGUCAGAGGGAAGCAGGCUCAGCUUUGAGGCUCCUAUGUAAGGCCCACAAGGUCUCAGAGGACCAUGUGGGCUACAGGGGGAUGGGCUCUGUGUGGUUCUGCUAGCAUUCAAACUGCCCUCACAGCCAAAACCCCAUCUCUAGUACUGGGGACCCCAACCUAGAUUUGCCUGUCCAAGGUUGUACUCCACCCUGAGCCCAGAGAAGAGACUUCUACACACAAGGUGGCCGCCCCUUCUUCAAUAGGCCUCAUGUUCACUCCAGACAGCGCACAGUCCCUGGGAGAUGCCAGUUUCCACAUGUAAGAAAUAUUGGUCAAAAAUGUGGUACUGCUGGGGGUGGUAGUGACACCUAUAAUUCCAGCUACUUAGGUGGCUGAGGCAGGAGAAUCACAAGUUCAAAGCCAGACUCAAUAACUUACUGAGACCCUGUCUCAAAAUAAAAUAAAAAAGGUUGGAAUUGUAGCUCAGUGUAGUAGUGUGUCCCUGGGUUCUAUCGUAGUACUGAGAAUAAAAAUAAAGAAAGAACAUGGGUCCUGGCUGCCUUAUCAGCCCAGAAAGAUGUAGACCAUGCUCUGGAAGACCAACCAGUUGACCACAUAGCACCUAGAAGAAUGAGACCACAGCAGAGGGACCCAUGAUGAGGGAAGUGCUCGGCUUGGCUCCUGGACCUGGCACUGGCCCUGGCCCCGGCCCCGGCCCCGAACCCGAACCACUUGCCUUGGCCUCAGGAAACUUGAUCAACUUGUUUAUCAGCAUUCGUGUGACCUCCACUCUGUGAUCACCAUCCCAGGACCAAGGUACUAUGAGGUAACCCCCAUUUAACCUGUGUCAGGCACUAGGAGGUUCUCCUGGUUGUCCUCAGGAGCCCCUCAGUUAGACUAACCCAGAUGGGGAGGGUGCUUGGCCCUGGAUCAGGAAGCUACAGGAGCCAGGUGUGUGGAACACACCUGUGGUCCCAGCAACCUGGGAAGCUGAGGCAGGAGGAAGGACUAGGCAGGUGGCUCAGUGGUGAAACACCCCUGAUUCAAUUUCCAGUACCCCGCCCCCCAUAAAAAAAAAAUAAGAAAAAGAAAUUGCGGGAGAAGUCCUGCAAAUGCCAUGGGAGACUGAAGCCUGGAGGGAUUCUAGUGCUGCCGAAGCUUGUGCUCUCGGUGAGACUUCUGGCAAAGCACAACAGGAAGUUAGCAAAAGGGCGGAGAUGAUGAAGAUGGUAGUAGAAACCAACACAAGGGAACACAGAACAGUGGCUGAUGAAACAAAAAACUGAUUCUUGGGUAAAUCUACAGCCAAACUGACAAGGACAAAAUGAGAGAAGAAAUGAAUCACCAAAACCAAGAGUGAGAGGUCCUGCCACUGCAGGCCCUGCAGGUGCUGAAGGGGUAGCAAUCAGGUAUAGUGAACCUUUUGCUAAGGAAUUCAAAAUGGACAGAUUCCUCAGGUGACCCAGGCUGCCAGAGGUCACUCAAAGAGAAACAGAAAAGUUAUAUGUCCAGUAAGGAGAUUGCAUUUGUACCUAAAAAUCCAGGCCUAAAUGGCUUCACUGGUGAAUUCUACCAAACACUUUAUUGUUUGUGCAGCAAUUCUGUGGAAUGUCUCCCAGAAAAAUGAAGUGGAGGGCUGGGGUUGUGGCUCAGAGGUACAGCACUCACCUAGCAUGUGUGAGGCACUGGGUUCCAUCUUCAGCACCACAUAAAAAAGAUAUUGUGUCCACCUAUAACUAAAACAUAAAUAUUAAAAAAAAAUGAAGUAGAGAGAAUGUUUCCUGAUUCACUCAUGCUAAAAUUAGAGAAGAACAUUAUAAGAAAGAAUCCCUCAUGAACAAGGAAACAAAAAUUUUAGCAAUAUUUUAUCAGGUUGAGUACAACAGUAUAUAAAGGAGAUAAUAUAUCUUGACCAAGUGAAGUUUAUCCUAGGAAUCGAGGAACGAAAGAUAGGUUUAGCCAGGGGUAGUGGCAUACACUGUCAUUUCAGUGACUCAGGAGAAUCUCACAUUCAAGGUCAGUCUCAGCAAUUUAGCAAGGCUCUGUCUCAAAAUAAAAAAUAAAAAGGACUGGGAAUAUACCUCAGUGGUAGAGCACCUCUGGGUUCAAGGUUCAAGCCCCAGUAUGGGGGGAGGGGAGCAAUCAAUGGAAAAUGGAAACCAUUUUAACAAAGUAAAAAAGAGUAUAUCAUCUCAUAAAAUCCAACAUUCCAUUCUUGAUCAAAACUGAACAAACUUAGAAGAUAAUCUCUUCACCCUGAUUAAAGGCAUCUAUUAAAAACCUACAUGGGCCAGGGUGUGUGGCUCAGUGAUGGAGUUCUUGCCUAGCAUGAGAGAGGCCCUGGCUCACUCCUCAGCAACUCAAAACCAAAAAAACAACUACAGUACCCAAAGGGAUUUAAAGAAGGUUUCAGACACACUUGCACAUGUUCACAGCAGCACUGUUCACAGCAGCCAGUAGGUGGAAGUGGUCCAGGGUCCACCCACUGAGGAAUGGUGAGCACAUGUGGCAGAGCCAUGCAGAGGACAUCAUUCACCCGAAGAAGAAUGACACUCGAUAGGUGCUGCAGCAUGAGUGGACUUAAAACACGUCGAAGAUAAGAGCCAGACCCACAGUGGCAAACCUGGUAUGCUACCACUUACCUAUAACUGGAACAGACAAACUGAUACAGAAAGCAAGGUCAGGCAGAGUGAGAGGAGAGAGAGAUUGCUUAAUAGGUAUUGAGAUUUAGCUUUGGAAGAUGAAAGGGUUUUGGAAAUUUGGUGACAGUUGCAUAGCAUUGUGAAUGUAGUUAAUGCCACUGAAUGGUACUUAAAAAAUGGUUCAGUGGCCAAACUUAUGUUUAUAUUUUAUCACAAUUUAAACACACACACACACACACACACACACACCCCUCAUACUUACUAGCCAAAGACUGAAUGCUUUCCCCUAACAAGAGGAGCAGAGCUCGGACCUUCAGUUAUACCCGCUGUGCACAGCAUCACACUGGAAGUUGAAGCUGGAUCUCAAUCAUGAUAAGAGAUAAAAGUCACACACCUUGGAGAGGAGGUAUGCAGUGGUUUUUAUUCACAGACAGUAUGAUCUGCAGAAUACUACUGGAAGAGUAUUCUAUAUACUGAAUUUAUUACAAGAUACAGGACCAAUACAUUAAAAUUUUAUCAAUUUGUAUAUACUAGCAACAAGCUAUAGGAAACUGAUAUUUUAAAAAUACCAUUUACAGUAGCAUUGACAAGUAUGAUAUACUGAGAGAACUCUAACAAAAGAUGUGUAAGACCUCUAUGCUGAAAAGUACAAAACAUUACUGAAAGAAAUAAAUAAAUGGUGAAACAUACCAUGUUUAUGGAUCUGAAACUCAGUGUUGUUAAGACGUCAUUUCCAUCCAAAUUGAUCUAUAGAUUCAACCCUAAUCAAAAUUUAAUUUUUGAUUUUUUUAAUUUUAGAAAGUGACAUGCUGAACUGGGG